This 57767-nucleotide long non-coding RNA is filed under the name Triticum aestivum (bread wheat). RNAcentral describes it as "long non-coding RNA (TAES_LNC003639)". Lineage: Eukaryota; Viridiplantae; Streptophyta; Magnoliopsida; Poales; Poaceae. The record is from RNAcentral.
AAGUUCAAAUCCUUCUAUUGCUGCAAAUUCUUCAACUGUCUCUGCUAUCACUAAUUCCUCAUCUAAGGAUGCUUCUAGUAUCACUGACCAUGCAGGGCUGAAGGAAUUGUAUGUGACAGGCAUGUACAAAAGCCUCACAGGGCAUCAGGCUCUUUGUGAUGUGCUUAAAAAGCAGAUCCUCAACAGGAACCCUAGGAAAGAGGGUAGUGCCUUUGAGAGGAAACUCAAUGCUGAUGGGACCUACUGGAAACCUGACCAGUAUCCCAAAACCUCAUGGGUUUCUACAAAGGGACCUCCCGUAGAUCCGUCUACUUUAUCUGGCUUUACAUGUGAAUCUUCAUAUUCUUCUGAUGAGUCAUUUGACUCCAACUAUAAAUUGUUCAAAAAUCAGAAUGGUGAAGUAUUUGCUAGAUAUGUUGGCACUAACUGCAGGAACGGUCCCCCUAUGAAGAAAAUCUGGGUUCCCAAUAGGUGCCUUGAAAGUCUUUAGGUGAAUGUCAUCAUGACACCACCUGUGACGACAAGGAACCCCAUAUCAAAUUCUUCAUAUGGACCAAAGUCCUCAUGUGGACCAAAUUCCUCACAUGGAUCAAAUUCCUCAUAUGGAUCAAAGUCCUCAUAUGAACAUCAUCAUGCUAACACUUAUAUUUCGCAGGGAAAGCCUAAGGGCAAUGAAUAUGUGCAUUAUUCUUCAAAUCAUUAUAUUAAUAAGUCCUGAAAGAAUUUCUCUGCUUAUUCAUAUGCUUACCUUAACCCCUGUUAUGUGAAACAAAGUGGACUAGCUUCUAUGCCACCUUUCUCAUAUGGAGCUCGCAGAAUGAUGAACUCUUUGCCACCCCUCCAGAUGUGGGUGAUGAAGCAAAAUAAACUAAUCUCUUAUGCAGGGUCAGGUCUCCAGACGAACUUAAUUGUCUUAAAAAUUUGCUAGAGACCUGAAUAUGCUUGAAAGGACGCAAGCUAAUCAUGAAGAAAUGAAUUCUCAUUUCUCACGUCCUCAUACUUCUAUAUCUGUUCUAUUGCUUGAUGAAAUUGAUCUGAUGAAUUUGAUGUCAUAUUCUUCACUGAUGAAGUGUAUGACUUCGUAAGAUGCGCUAAUUCAUCUGCAGGAUGAUCAACCCAAAGCCACUAAGUGGGCCCUCGACAGUGGAUGUACAAAUCACAUGACUGGUGAUAGGAACUUAUUGAUGGACACUACUUUAUCUCCAUCGCAUCUGAAGCAUAUCACAUAUACACUGACAAAGGCAAAAGCAAGGUAUUGGGUCUAGGUAAGGUUGCGAUCUCAAAGUAUCAACACAUGGACAAAGUCAUGCUUGUCGAGUCCUUAGGAUUCAACCUCAUGUCAGUCUCAAUGCUUUGUGAUCUUGAUAUGGUUGUUAUAUUUGGCAAGUAUCAUUGUGUUGUGAUCAUGGAAGCUGACCAUUCCAAAGUCUUCAAAGGCUUUAGGAGAGGAGAUCUGUAUAUUGUUGAUUUCUCUACAUGACCACAACCUGCUAUGUGCCUACUUGCAAAAGCUUCAGAAGGCUGGCUAUGGCAUCGACGACUUGGUCAUGCUGGCAUGAGGAACUUGCACACGCUCGCGAAGAAGAAGCAUGUCAUUGGCAUCGAGAAUAUCAAAUUCCUCAAGGAUCACCUGUGCGGAGCUUGUGAAGCUGGAAAGAUGACCAAGGCCAAGCAUCCCUCAAAGACCAUCAUGACUACCACUGCUCCAUUUAAAUUGCUUCACAUGGAUCUCUUUGGUCCUAAUCAUUAUUCUGCAUUCGAUAAUGAAUCAUCUCUAUAUGGCUUUGUUAUUGUUGAUGACUAUUCUCGUUAUACAUGGGUGCAUAUCGUCACUUACAAACGUGAAGUGCAGGAAGUUUUCAAAAGAUUUUCCUCAAGGGCUUCAACCAACUUUGGUGUGAAGAUCAAGCACAUCAGAAGUGACAAUGGGACCAAGUUCAAGAAUACUGGUCUUGAUGACUAUCUUGAUGAAUUUGGUAUUACUCAUGAUUUAUCUGCUCCUUAUACUCCUCAGCAGAAUGGCGUUGUGGAGCGCAAGAAUAGGACUCUUGUUGAGAUGGCUCGCACUAUGCUUGAUGAAUACAAGACGCCUCGUCACUUUUGGCCUAAGGCAAUUGAUACUACGUGCAACAUCAUAUGAACUCCUCACUGACAAGAAACCCAAUGUGAGUUAGUUCAAAGUCUUCGGUGCUAAUGUUGGAUUAGAGAUCCUCAUCACAAUUCUAAAUUUGCACCAAAAGCACAUGAAGGUUUUAUGCUUGGUUACAGAAAGGACUUGCACACCUACAUAUUCUUCAACACCGUUCACCACAAGGUUGUUGAAACUGUAGAUGUGCGGUUCGAUGAAACUAAUGGCUCGCAAAGAGAGCACCUACGUCCUGUGCUAGAUGAAAAGUCACCUAAGGAAACCAUCAAGUUCAAGGCUAGUACUGAGGAUGUCAUUCCUACCUAAGAAUCUGCUGAAGAAGUCAUUCCAGAACGUGAAGAACAUCAUGCUAGUGCACCUGAAGAAAAUGGCUCUGAAAAAAAUGCUGAGACAAUUCCUUGUCGUCAACCCGCUCAUCCUCGCAUCGCAAAUGAAGUGCAGAUUGAAAAAAUCAUCAGCGACAUCAACGCACCAGGUCCUCUCACACGCUCAAAAGCUUCACAUUUGUCUAACUUUUGUGGGCACUUUGCUUUUGUACCUAUCAUAGAGCCCACCAUAGUAGAUGAGGCAUUUCUGGAGCCUGAGUGGAUUCAAGCGAUGCAAGAGGAAUUACAUCAAUUCGAGCUCAACAAUGUUUGGGAACUUUUCAAGCGACUAGACCCUCGAGCACAAUAUCAUCGGCACCAAAUGGAUCUACCACAACAAGCAAGAUGAAAAUGGCCUUGUGGUGAGGAAUAAGGCACAGCUUGGAGCUCAAGGCUACACACAUGUUGAAGGAAUUGAUUUCGUUGAAACUUUUGCACAUGUUGCUAGACUUGAGGCUAUUCGCAUAUUGUUUGCUUAUGCUAACCAUCAUAAUGUCAUCUUAUAUCAAAUGGAUGUGAAAAGUGCAUUCCUCAAUGAUAAACUUGAGGAAGAAGUAUAUGUUGCUCAACCCCCAGGUUUUGAUGAUCCAAAGCAUCCUGACAAAGUCUUCAGACUCAAUAAGGCCCUCUAUGGCCUCAAGCAGGCCCCUCGGGCGUGGUAUGAUACUUUGAAGGAAUUCCUCAUGAAGAAAGGCUUCAAACCCGGUUCACUUGACACAACUCUUUUCACCAAAACCUAUGAUGAUGAAUUAUUUGUGUGCCAAAUAUAUGUUGAUGAUAUUAUCUUUGGAUGUACUGACCAAUGUUACAGUGACGAAUUUGCCUAUAUGAUGAGUGAGGAAUAGCAAAUGGCUCUGCUGUGAGAAUUGAAAUUCUUCUUAGGUUUUCAAAUUCGUCAACAGAGCAAUGACAUCUUCAUAUCUCAAGAGAAAUACCUCAAGGAUGUAUUGAGGAAAUUCGGCAUGCAAGAUUGCAAAGGCGUCAGAAUCCCUAUGCCCACAAAUGGCCAUCUAUGCACUGAUGAAAAUGGUAUUGAUUUCCAUCAAAAGGUAUACUGCUCCAUGGUUGGCUCUUUAUUGUAUCUUGAGCAUCUAGGCCAGAUAUUAUGCUUAGUGUUUGCAUGUGUGCCCUGUUUCAAGCUACACCAAAGGAAUCACACCAUAAGGCUGUGAAGCAUAUUUUUCGAUAUCUAGCUCACACUCCAACACUUGGAUUAUGGUAUCCUAAGGGCUCGGCAUUUGAUCUCAGUGGAUAUUUUGACUCUAACUAUGCUGCUGAUUGUGUGGACCACAAGUCAACAUCAGACACAUGCCAUUUCCUCGGACGUUCCUUGGUAUGUUGGUCCUCGAAGAAACAGAACUGCGUAUCACUCUCUAAUGCUGAAGCUGAGUACAUUGCUACUCGUUCGUGUUGUGCUCAAUUGCUAUGGUUGAAGCAAGACCUCAAGGACUAUGGCAUCAUCGUGAAGAAUGUGCCUCUCUACUGUGACAAUGAGAGUGCCAUCAAGACUGCUCAUAACCCAGUUCAGUACUCGAAGACAAAGCACAUCUAGAUUCGUCAUCAUUUUCUUCAUGAUCAUGUGUUGAAGGGCGACAUCAACAUUGAGCACAUGAAGACAGAAGAACAACUAGCCGAUAUCUUCACAAAGCCCUUGGAUGAGAAGAGAUUUAGCAAGUUGCCGUGUGAGAUGAAUAUCUUAGAAUCUUCGAAUGUCCUUCUAAAAGGACACACAUCCUAACACUUAUGCAAAAUGAUGACUUAGAUGUGUAACACAUGAAAUAACAUUUUUCUUCAAUCAAUGAAGACUAACCCUCUAAGUGUGAAGAAAUUAACAAAGAAUUUGAUUCUAAGAGCCCUACGACAAUUGUACGCGGCGUCUAAAAUCAUCAUUCUUAUACGGUGGGUCACGCCACCAACAAAUGUUGAAAAUCUUCAAUUUGAGUUUUUUUUAAAUUCCUCAUUUGUUCAAAUUCUUCAAGUUUGCAUUGUUUUCACUCCUUCUGACCUUAAGACCUUAUUCUGCACACCCAAACCUUAUUCUGCACCUCCCUCCCACCUUCUUCCUCCCCCGCACAUACCUCCACCUCCCCUCCAGGUUCCAUUGCCGGCCUCCCUUCCCGCGACCCAUCCCCACCCCCGCUCCCACCCACGCCNNNNNNNNNNNNNNNNNNNNNNNNNNNNNNNNNNNNNNNNNNNNNNNNNNNNNNNNNNNNNNNNNNNNNNNNNNNNNNNNNNNNNNNNNNNNNNNNNNNNNNNNNNNNNNNNNNNNNNNNNNNNNNNNNNNNNNNNNNNNNNNNNNNNNNNNNNNNNNNNNNNNNNNNNNNNNNNNNNNNNNNNNNNNNNNNNNNNNNNNNNNNNNNNNNNNNNNNNNNNNNNNNNNNNNNNNNNNNNNNNNNNNNNNNNNNNNNNNNNNNNNNNNNNNNNNNNNNNNNNNNNNNCGUCGCGCGCCGCUCGAGCCUCAUCCCGCCCCGCGCCGCUCGAGCCUCGCCCCGCCCCGCGCUGCUGGAGCCCCCUCCCUCUAAUCGCCAUGCGCCGUCGGAGCCCCGCCAUCCCCGCCCAACCACGCACCAUCAGGAGCCCCGUCCCUCUCCUCACCUUCUUUCGUGGAUCUCCGGGAUGGGAUCCGACGAGCUACAGCUACCCUGGCCUCUUUCUCUCCGACAUCCGCCGACAUCCGCGGCCAGUACUACACCAGCGAGCAGCUUAGCCAGAUCCUCCUCUGGCUCCGUCGUCGUGCCUCCGUCGUUAGAUCGGGAGCUCAGCCACCCCGCGCCAUCAACACUAUACCGCAUCCUCCCACGCGUGCAGUGCACAUCCUGCCGCGCAGCAGUCAACAGCGGUGGCGCUGGUCCCCCAUCCCAUAGUCCCGAUGUCGGCGACCCUAUCUUCGGCGGGGACGAAGCCCGUAUAGUUAAAAAAACAUUUUUGCAAUUUUUUUGGGGGAUUUUGGAUGUGCAGGAAACUGCUGCUGUGUGGAGUGUGUUUUUGGUGCACCCUGACGGCGACCCAUCCGCCCCGACCUCCCCGAUGUCUCUUCGGUGCCGAGGUCGAGAUGCUCUCCCAGCGUGGUGGCCGCCACGGCUUCCCCUCCUUCUAAUCCGGCUGCCAUUGGCUCCGCGAUCUAUUCCGCUGCUUCUUGCAACUUUGGCUGACGAGGAGGACGGUGGCUGUGGUGGCAUGCUCCUCCUUAUCCCUCCAAUGGCAGGUAACGAGCUCCCUCCUUCAACUGUUGCAGUUCCUUUGAUUUUUUGUUGAAGCUCACUGAAUUUUGUUUUGUAGUGCACUGUUGAAAUGAAAAAAAAAAUACGUACAAGUUUCCUGGCGCGGCGUCGGGCAGUUUGGUAGGGAGCUGUGUGCAGUUUGCUUGCAUGGCCGGGAGCUUCCUGAUCCUGCUCCGACCCAUCUUCUUCCCCCUAGUGCACUGCAGUUGUUCAUCAUUUUCAUCUCGUGGUGUGUCGUUUGCAAAGAUCAUGGCCGUGCAGCUCGUCGUCGAUGUUUUACGGUUUUGUGCGUGGGGCGGUGCGGUUCUUUUCUGGCAUGCAAAAUUGCAAAAAAUGUAGUGUGGUUGGGCGCCCUACCGAGGUGCAGUUUGUCCACGGGUCCUUGUUUUGGUGUUUCAAGGAAAAAGUAUGAUGAUUCAGUUGUCGUUCUGUUCAAACACACUGAAACUUUGUUGGCGUAGCUUCAAAAAAGAGAGCAUCAAAAGUAUAACAAACUCCAUGUGUCUCGUUGGCGUAGCUUCAAAAAAGUGCAAAGAAUAUUUUUGUCCAGUGAUGAUGCAGUUUGCUGCGUAUGUUGGAGUAGUUCGCUUCUUUCACAAGUUAACUCUUUUUUGUUUUUGUUUAAGCUUGGUCCAGUGCAGUUCGAUUGGUAUGUUAGAGAGGUUCAUUUUCAUGAAAAAGGGUUAUUGCAGCCGAUUGAUGCAGCCCACUACACCCAUGUUUUUCAUUUGUUGGAAAAAAAUUUGUUGUCCACUCAAUAACGAAGGAAAAGAGAGCAUCACUUUUCCUUAAACAGAAGUUUAUCUAGUUGUUUGAGAAAAUGCAGAGAGGAAACGAGAGUAAAGAGAUGUGGAUGAAUUCUUGUAUGUAAUGUGUAGCGUGCAAACAAAUAAUGCAGUCCACUCGCCUCGUCCCCGCAGUGCAUAUUUCAUUUUUAAACCAAAAAUAGAUAUAUCCAGUGUACUACGGGAAAAUCAAAACUCUGUAGAGAAAAAGAAAAAGAAAAAUGCAGUGCACUCCGGUCUUUAAAAAAGUCCGCUCCGAAGGACUUUGUAGCACACUCUUGAAAUUUUUUACGUCCGACAAAAGAAAUCAUGAAGUGCACUUGCUCGUCCGAUGCAGUGUGGUUUUUCGUCUGAAGCAGUGCACUCCACCUCGUUUGGGAAAAUUUACGUCCCACAAAGAAAACCAUGCAGUGCACUUGCCCAUCUAAUGAAGUGCGGUAUUUCGUCUGAAGCAGUGCGUUCUUCUUUUCCCGUCCGAGAAAAAAUAUGUCUAAACAAAAAGAAACCAUGCAGUGCACUUGCCCAUCUAAUGAGGUGCGGUAUUUCGUCUGAAGCAGUGCGUUUUUCUUUCCUUGUCCGAGAAAAAUUACGUCUAAACAAAAAGAAACCAUGGAGUGCACUUGUCUAUCUGAUGCAGUGCGGUAUUUUGUCUAAAGCAAUGCGUUCUUCUGUCUGAUGCAGUAAAUAUGACGAUUUUGGUCUCGCGAAGAACAGAGUGUCCGCUUUUCGGUAAAAUUAAAACUGCUCUUAAACCGUAAGGAAUUAGAGAGAGUGUUCUACAUGAAAAAGUUGUGUCUUGUUGAUAUCUUUCCAACGGCGUAUGAUUUGAAUUAUUCCGACAAGCCGUUCAUAGAAAUUUCGCGAAAAAACAGCGGCUGCCUCUCGAAGUCAGCCACACGAUUUUCAAAAUUAACUAAAAAUUGUAAGGAAUCUCAAAACCAUUUCAACAUAUGAAAGUUGCGCCUUGUCCGUAGCUUUCCAACAGUGUAUCAUAUGUCUCGCUUCGACAAACGGUUAGAAAAUUGGAGCAAAAACAGUACCGAAAAUUUCAAAAAAAUUGAAAAACAGAGUUCCACGAUUUAGUAAAUUUGGAACUGCUCUUAAACCGUAAUGAAUUAGAGAAAUAUUUAUAUAUGAAAAAGAUGCGCCUCGACGAUAUCUAUCCAACGGCAUAUCAUUUGCUUCAUUCCAACAAGCGGUUUAGAAACAAAGCGAAAAAACGCUCCCUGCCACUCGUCAUCCGCCGCACUAUUUUCAAAACUGCUCUUAAACUGUGUGGAAUCUCGAAAAGUGUUCAACAUGUUGAAGUUGCACCUAAUCCAUAGAUUUUCAAUGGUAUAUUACACGCCUCAUUCCGAUAAACGGUUAAAAAAUUAGAGCGAAAACAGUACCGAAAAAGAUAACGCGUGCAGUUUUUUCCGAUAAGAAGUUCACUAGUCUCUAUUGCAGUGCUCGUCGUCAAAAUGAUGCAGUGCACUUCUGUUGAGCGUGCAGUAUCGAAGUGGUGUGCAGAAUAGUUAUUCUGCUAAUAUUAGCAGAAUAGACCGUCUCUGUGUGUGUGUGUGUGUGUGUGUGUGUGUGUGUGUGUGUGUGUGUGUGUAUACAUCUGGGCUAUUCUCUUACGCGUAACAGAAUAUUAUUCUGUUACCCUUUUUGAACUGACGUUUUCAGGUGGUUGUACUGAUGUUUUCGAAGCAGUUGAACUGAUGCUUUCAGUUGUGUUUAACACAUCGUGUUCUUUAGUCCAAAAACUUUUUGUAAUUUUUUUGUCGGAACGGGGCGUGUAAUAUAUCGUUGGAAAGCUCUUGACAACCAUAUUUCAAGUAUAUUGAACGUUUUUGCAAAAUCAUUAUGGUUUAAGAGCAGUUUUGAAAAAACUGUUUUUUUCAAAACCGAAAACGUGAAUCGUAUUUUAGACUCAAUUUUCAAACCGUUUGUCGGAAUUGAGCAAAUAAGAUGGCGUUGGAAAGCUGGUGAAAAUCCGCAUCUUCCAUAUAUGUAUUGUUUUUUCUAAUUAUAUAUAAUUUAAAAGUAAUUUGAAAAAUGGUGAAAUUCUAGGAGAAACAUAUUUUCGCGAUUUUUUGCAAAGGGUUUGUCGGAUUGACACAAAUGAUAUGGCGUUGGAAAGCUAUGGAAAAUGCGCAACUUUUUCGUAUAGAAACGUUUUUCUAAUUUCUUAUGGUUUGAAAACGAAUUUAAAUACGGUCAAAUUUGAUUUUGAACGCGAUUUGUUUACAAAGUUUGUCGAAACAUGGCAAAUAAUAUACCGUUGGAUAGUUAUCGAAAAUGCGAAACUUAGUUAUGUUGAACGUUUUCUCUACUUCGCAACCGUUUAAGAGUAAUUUAGAAUACGGCAUGACGGAUCUUGCUGUUUUCUUGUCUGAAAAACAGAGUAGUUGUACUGAUAUAUGUGUAUGUUUGUACUGAGCUAUUUUUUGUAGAGUAAUUUUGAAUGGUUCCGAAAAAGGGUACUUGUACUGAUUCUUGCAUGGGUUUGUACUAAGCGUGUUUUCACUAACUCGACUUUGCUCCGUUUUUUGGGUAAUAUUUUUCUCAUAAGUUUUCUACGGUUUACUGUAUCGUCGCCCCUGUACUUGUAUGGUUUGUAUCAUCGAACUGAAUUAUAUUUUAUUCAAAAAGAAAAUGUGUUUGUUUUAUUUAUUUUUUUAACUCGACAUUUUCUUGACAACAUUGUUCUGAACUUCUCUCAUUUUACGACUUGUACUGGGGUACUUACUAAGCGGGAUUUUCAUGGGGUUUCUUUUUUGCUUGAACUUUACAAUUUGAAUUUCUGUCAUUUCUUUUAUUCCGAACGGACCACCGUUUUUAACUCGUACUAUGGUACUUACUACGCCCGAACUGGGGUGGCUGUCGCAUGUCUCGGCGAGGAAGAAGACGAAUCACGGGAGCGCGGCUGGAUUCGGCCGGCGGCUGGGACGACGCGGGACGGGGAUGGCGGUGCGCGGCGGAGGAGGGAGGCUGGGACGGCGCGCGACAGCCGCCGGAGGCGGGGACGAGCCACGGCAACCGUCGACGGGGAGGUGCGCAUGGAGGGAGCAGCGCCCGUCAGAGGGAAGGCGCGCGGGGAGGGGCCGACGAGCACGUCGGCGGUGAGGCGUGCGGACGGCCAGCCGGCUUCAGCGCGUGUGUUGGAGGAGCUACCCGUAACGGCGCCGCGGGCUCCCUCGCUCCGGCUGCCGCCGUCGCUCGCUCGCCCGCGAAGGCUGCCUCCGGCAGUAGGAGGCGGGUUCGAUUGGGGACGGGUCGGGGAGUUUCUCCUGUCGUCUGCGCGUUGCGCCCUUAUAGGGACCGAGGGUAACAGAAUAAUAUUCUGUUACGGGUAACAAAAUAGUCCAGCCCUAUAUAUAUAUAUAUAUAUAUAUAUAUAUAUAUAUAUAUAUAUAUAUAUUUGAGUUUUUCUGUCCUCUACAUCAUUCACUUAUUGCUAAUUCUUCCAGUUGACUUUUCUGCUAAGUGAAUGUGAUCGGACCCUUCCCCCUCUAUGCUAAACUCAACCCAAUCUUUUCACAAAUUCUUCAUGUGCGUUCCAUUUGAAAACCGUUCAAAAUCUUCACCUUGUCCAUGUCAGCUGAAGAAUUUGUGAACGAAAACAUUAAAAUAUUCUUAUCUAAACUUUUGGCUUUUGCCUCUCAAACCGUUCCACAUUCCAUGAUAAGAUUUAUCUAUUCACCCACGAUCUCACAUGAUCGCCACCUCUCUGUACGUGGGUGACACUUGUCACUAGUAUGAGAAGGGUCAGGGGCACGUUCGUCCAUUUUCCUCGGACGAGCGGUUUUUCACCUUGGCUAUAAAUACCCCUCGCCCUCCUUAGACCGCAUUUACCCCGCUCCAUCUCACUCCCCUCGCUCGAGAUCUCUGACCUAGCGCUGCUGCUACUUCCAUCGUCGCUGAUGAGGAAGAGCUUCACUGCCUCAACCUCGUUGCCGUCGUACUCAUUCUGGCCGCAGAAAUCUUCACUCCGCCGCCGCCGUAGCUGUCUUCCUCUGCCAAGUUAGGGCAUGGAAGAUCUGAACGGACAAACUUCAAAUCUAAAACUCACAGUUCAUCAUGUUCUUCGUCAAGUGUAAAUAAAAUUGAUGUUUACUUCCCUUGUUGAUUCUAAUGAUUUCCACAAAAUCUUUAAAAGGUGUUUAUUCUUCAACUUCCACACUUUAAACACCUCACACAAGCAUUAGUUCUUGAUAUGUUUCUCUAAGCAACAUUUUUCUUCAAGAUUCCUCAAUUGUGUGGAUUUCUCAAUCUAUACAACUCUGGAACCUAAGUCAAAGAAUGCUUAGUGAAAUUCCUCAAGACACCACUAGUCAAAUUCCUCAAACUUGUUCUUUUUGCAAAAACUUCUGAGAACGCAUAUGACCUCUCCAAAUUCUUUGCACCUAUACUCUGUUCAUAGGUACACAUGUCCGCUGCUGAAUCUCUAGGUUCUCAUCUACUUAACUCAUUUGCAGCGUUCCUCGAAGACAAGUUGCAUACCUCUUUAGAGAACUUAAUUGUUCAAAAUCCUCAGCUGAAGAAAAUGGGAGAUGGCAAGAAACCUCAGAAGGGAGGCAAGAAACUGGAAGUGAACACUGCCUUUGAAAUCCCUGAUGACAUCUAUGCAGGGUAUUACACUCCUGAUGAGGCAAUUCAUGGAAAGGAAACAAAGAAUGAGCGCAAGGUGCGCAUUCAUAGGAUUGAAAGAAGAUGGGCACGAUAAUGGAGGGAAUACCGAUAUGUUACUCCUAAGUACAUGAAGAAAUCUGAUGUACACCCUCCUUGCCCAAGACCUCCAGUGGCACCUGGCUAAGAAGCUGAUCCCACUAGCCUCAAGCGCGGUGAGGACUAUCCUGAUGAAUGGGCCAAGCGGCAAGCUAAACUGGCCAAAGUGGCCAAGGAAGCAGUGAGGAAAUUCAACAAAGACUCUGCUGCUGGCGCUGCUAAGGCCUCUACUAGCAAGCCCAAGAAGGCUAUGCCAAAGAAGCCAGCUCACAAACCACCUUCCUCAGCAAUGCCCUCACGGCCAAACUCAUCAAUGCCCGCAUGGCAUAUUCCUCAAGCUGUUCCAGUUCCUCCUGUUGCAAAAUCUUCAGGUGCUCCUGCAAAGUCCUCGGCACCUGUGCAUCUCGCCUCUUGCAAAAGGACCACAAGCAUCUCAAUUGCCUCUGGAGCUUAUGCACGUUCUUCAGCUCCUCCUUAGUCAGGCCCCACAUUGCUGAAGACCAAGGCUACUGUUGGACGAGGCACUAGACCAAGUCCUCACAAGAAGCAGGUUGCCUUUCAUGUUCCAUCAAGUGUAGACGAAGCUGAUGAUGAUGAACUUGCUGAUAUCACCAGAGACAGACCGCAAUGGGCCGCAAGAGCUAAAAGCAGUGUUGUGCCACUUAUGCUGGAUCCGAAGAAGAUCCUGGACUUCAUUGAUCUAUGGCACAAAGAUCCAAACACUCCCUUGACAGAAUUAAAUCUCACACCUGGCCAAAGUCAUAUGUUGACGACUUUCAUAGCCGAAGAAAAAUAGAAAUUUGAGAAAGCCAGUAAGGUGAAGAAAGUUCAAUACAAGAAAGAGCACUUUCUGAAGAAAUUUUCUUUGAAGCUAUCACCUGACGAACUUGUUGCUCUGCAAUCAGAAAUCAAGAAUCUCAGUGAUGAAUUUGACGCAUCUCAUGUUGAAUGGCUAGGAGGCAAAGUCAGAUUCAUCAGAAUGGAGAAGGGAUUUACAUAAAAUGUUGCUACUCAAACGCACAAUGAAAUUCCUCAGGCUAAAGCAUCUGCCUAGCCUACUAAAGAACAUGCCAACACCGCUGAUGAAGAUCAGGUUGCUGAUGUCAGGACCCCGACUCAAUGCCACAUCAACCUAGCAUGUAACACCUCAUAUCACUUUCCGGCCUCACGCACGGUAUUCCCACGGGUGUCGCCUUACCUUUGCCCGGGACCGUUUGCGCCUUUUGGCACACGUAUAUGAUAGUGUCGCUAGCAUCCAUAUGAUAAGGAGCCCGGGCUGACAUGGCUAGUCGUAAACCCAAAGUGGCACAAACUUACAGGGACAGGCAUCCAUGACCCAACAUCGAACGUGUCGGUCAUCAGCGAGUGAAUCCAGGCUGUAGCACUGGGCUAGCAGGACUCUGGUGAACCGGGCUAUAGCGGGCUAACAUGACUCCGGUAUUCAUCGUGUGACAUUUCCCCGAGGGGACAGACACAGGAACGAAGAAGGACACAUGCCGGCGAGCCUAAGUGUUCUGGAGCAAUAGCAAGCUACCAUGGCUCAGUGGAAGCACUAGGAGACAUUUCCCGGUAAGAGAGGCUACUAAGGAUAAACAACUAGAUAGUCAGAUCACACACAUACCAAACAUUUCAAUAACAUACACACAAUAUGCUCGAUAUGUGCAAAUACAACAUGGCAUCACAACAUGACUCUACAACUCAAGUAUUUUAUUCAAUAGGCUCCAAGGAGCGAGAUAUUACAAACAUGGGUCUCACGACCCAACAUUCAGAGCAUACAAGUCAAAGCACACGCGGAAGCUUAACAUGUCUGAGUACAGACAGCUAUAAAUGAAAAAGGCUGAGAAGCCUGACUAUCUAUCAGAUCCUGCCGGGGCACAAGAUCGUAGCUGAGGUAACAAGCUAAACGUCAAAGUCCAAGCGGAACUACUAGUGAGACUGAAGUCUCUCUGAUAAAACAUAAAAUAGGAAAACGUGAGUACAAAUGUACCCAGCAAGACUUACAUCAGAACUAUCUACAUAUGCAUCAUUAUCAACAAAGAGGGUGGUGGGGUUUAACUACAGCAAGCCAGUGUUGACUCGGUGGCUAACCUGAACUACGACUGCAAUUAUCUCUUUUGAGGUGGCGCACACGAGUCCACAUAUUCACCAUAUCAAUACACCACUAUGGAUCCGCCCCCGUCUCCCUACGACAACGCCAUCCAUAGCACUCACGCUUAUCUUGCGCAUUUUAGAGUAUCCACUUUCACUUCUCUAUGAACUGUUAUAGGCAACCCAGAAGUCCUUUACCGUGGACACGGCUAUUCGAAUAGAUGAUGUUAACCCUGCAGGGGUGUACUUCUUCAUACAUGUUUCCACCACUUAGCGUCUGCACACGACAUGUGCUCGGCAGACUUCAAGCGAAAGUCGACGCGGGUGUAGACCACGACCUACCUAAACACUCAAGCCUCUAGUCCAGGUUUAUCGCCUACUCAUGUUCCAUCCGCAGGGAGUCCGGCCGAGGUUUCCAUAUACGGCCCCGAACGAUGUGUAUAGGGUUCCGUGACACCAAACGGGCGCCCGGUAUACCCGGCCACGUGCCUAUUGCAUCACAGCCCACCCCUCCGGUCAGCGCUGCGCAUGACCUCUAGCAUACUACAAACACCAGAAACUACUUGCAACUCCCGGACAGAGGACAAGGGUGAUUAAGAAGUCGAGCGCGGUCAUAUUUCAGGGCCCAAUGCAUGGUAGUAGCUGAAUCAUGGAUCACAAACACAGAACUCAGUUCCUGAGGACGGCUUCAAUGAGACAACCCACCAUGUACUCCUACAUGGCCUCUCAUUGCUACCUUUACCAAAUCGUGUUCACACACUUAGCUAAUACAUAGUAGGACAUGUUCACACACCUCUGAUUCAUCCCCGAUGAAUCAGACCUGACUCAACUCUAGGCAGUAGCAGGCAUGUCAAACAACCAUGAAUGAGUAGGCACAUCAGGGCUCAAACAACUCCUACUCAUGCUAGUGGGUUUGAUCUCUUUACUGUGGCAAUGACAGGUCAUGCAGAGGAAAGGGGUUCAACUACCGCAGCAUGUAACAGUUGAAUCGUUGUUGUCCUCAUGCAGUAAAAGAGAGCAGGAGAGAGAGAGUGGGAUUGUAUCGGAAUGAACAAGGGGGUUUUGCUUGCCUGGCACUUCUGAAGAUAGUAUAGUUCUUCAUCGGUGUCAUCGAUCUCAUCGUCGGAACACGUCUACUGAGAGGGAACAAACACCGGCAACAGAGAAAGAACACAAUCAAUGCAAUGCAACAAUAUGAUGCAUGAGUGUGACAUGGCAAUAUGUUGUGGUUUGAGCUAAUGCAACUAGCAACCAGAUUAAAUGAAGUUGGUUUGAAUCCAAGAUUCAAAUUCAAACUCCAUAUGUGGAUAUUUAAAUGCCAUUUAUAUGAUUUGUGCUAAACAGCAGCUAUAAGUUAUUCUAACAUUCAUGAAAACAGUACAAAUGGAUAGAUUGGAUUUUUCUGAUCAUUUUUCAUAUAUAAAUUAUUUCAUUCUGAGCUACGGUUGAUUUUCUAUGAUUUUUAGAAGUUUAGGACAUUUUUUGGAGUUCCUGAAUAAACUUAAAUCCAGAAAAUGCUUUAUUGCGUCAGGGUGACGUCGCUGUGAUGUCAGCAGUCAACAAGGUUGACCCAGGUCAAACCUGACGCUGGGACCCACUGGUCAGUGACUAGGCUAAUUAAUAGAGACUGUUAGUGCUAAUUUAAUCCUAACUAAAAGUGUCACUGGGCGUGGGCCCACAUGUCAGUGUCAUAACUAACUUAACAGAGUUAGUUAGUGUUAGGUUAGGCACUAUUCCAGGUUAAUUAGCGCUAAACAAACCUAACUAAUAAAUAACAAGGCUGGCCCACACGUCAGUGGGUCAGUGGGGAAGUCAAACCCCGGUCAAGCGGGGUCAAACCCACCGGAAUUGGUCCACGGCUCGUCGCCGGUUAAGCUCGAGACGCCGGAGGGGCUCGGAAAUUGCCCACGGUCAACAAAAUCGACUGCGAUUUGGUCCUACACGUAGCUGGGGCUCGGGCGCAUCUGGUAGGCCAAGCGGGAGGAGCUGGGGUGGAGCGAGCUCGCCGCAGUCGAGCACGUGGCGGCAGCCGGAGUUCGGGCUAGCAUGGGCGCGGGGCUGCAGCUCGAUUUAGAGCGAACGAAGAGCACGGGCAGAGGCUACGGGGCAGCAGGAACUCGACCAGGUGCUCAUACACGGCGUUGGCCCACCGUAACAAUGACGGCGACAUUCACGACGGCGACAAGUUUCGGCGGAGGUGGGGAACGGAGCUAGAGUAUGAGCGCGAGCAGGGGGGAGGGGGAAUUGGUGGCGGAGCUCACAGCGGUUGCAGAGGUGGCCUCGGCAUGCUCGGGGAAACACCGGAGCGAGCGGGGCGGCGAGAGGGAUCUCCGACAGCCGGCGACGAACGUGAUGAAGAUGGCGUCGAUGCAGGGCCUCCGGUGAGGCGUUGUUAGAUGGAGAGGACGAAGGGGGUGAAGCGAUGCUCGUGGGCACGUUGGGGAGGCGAGGGGAGCACGGAGGCUGCGGCGUUACAGCGGCGCGGCUGCGGCUGCGCUCGGGCGCGAGAGGGAGAGAGAGCAGAGGAGGGGAAAGAGGUCGGGAGAGAGUGAGAGAGGUCCAGGGGGUGUACGGUGUCGUCUGGAGUCGUCCAGGGCGUCGGCAGAAGCAGGAGGUGGCCACGGGUGGCUGUGCGCGCCGCACGCAGCUGCUUCUCCUCCUGGAAGAGGAGGAAGACGCCAGAGGGGUUGCGGUGGUGGGCUGGGCCAGAUGGCUGGGCCGGCCAGGUGGGCUGCACGGGUGAGGCCAGGUACUAACUCUCUCUCUCUCUCUUUUAUUUUUAUUUUCUAUUUUCUGUAAUUGUGUUUGGCUUUAAUAAAAAUGCCAGGGCAUUUCCAAAAAUCAUGAAACUGCUCAAUGUCACUGUUUGGAAUAUUUCCAACAGCAAACAUUUCAGUUUGUGAUUAUUUGAGCAUUUAAAAUAUUAUUUAACAAUUAAAUGCCCAAAUGCAAAUACCGUAUGAUUUAAUUCAAAAAUCCAGAAUGUCCUAGAAAAAUGUGCACCAUUUUUGGGAGAGGUUCUAGACCAAUCCAAAAAUAAUGAACUUUUCGGAAGAGCAUUUUGGGUUCAUUGAAAAUAUUUUUAUUUGAACCUAGUUGAUUUGAUCUGGUGCUAGGGUUUGAGCAAUCCCCAUUUCAACUUAAAUAAAAUUUAAACAUGAUGCACACAUGAAGGGCUAGUCUAGUGCAUACCAGAACAAGGGAUGUGACAACUCACCCCCACUAAACAAGAAUCUCGUCCCGAGAUUCAAGCAUAGGGUAAGAUGAAGGGAGAACGCAAACUAACAUAAUCUUCAGAUCUAGGUGGCACUUCAAAGAACGUUGACUCGAUCACCAUCAUUGUCUCGAUGUCUUGCCCCGAGAACUCCAACUAACAUGACAAUGAUAGCAAAAGGAAAACUCUAGAGGGAUCGAUCUUAUUGAUGGUCAAACAACUCAUGAUCAACUCACGGAGUGGGACAUUGAAACAUCUCUCGAGCUAAGACACAAAGCAUUCGUCCAGAGGGAUGGAGGGAAAACACAUGACAAAAGUUCACUAGGUAGGCAAUAAUUCCACACCUAAGAAGGUAUUGAACGGUUGUCAACAUAGUGAUGAGUUGAGUUGCCAUGAUACCAUAACGAUGCACCUUAGGGAAGGUGACUCGUAGAAAUAUCCCCUUAAGUGGCAAAAAGAAUUACUUUUGAUUCAGAGAUCAUUGAAACUCUUUAUACCAGCCUAAAGCAAUUCUCGAGCGAUCGUUUAGAGGGGUUCGGUAGAAUGGCAUACCCGGAUUAGAAUGGAUGAUGUGGAUUACCUUGUUGAAAACAACACAAGGGAUGAUAUUAGUAACUGGGGAGAAGCUCAACAGUAGAGAGUGAGUCCACUGUUUGAAAAGUUAUAGCAUAACCGAGGAAACUGAGAGCAAUCCCAGUUAGUGCCGAUGAUAACACCUAGCGCUUGUGUGUGCUCUCAAGAACUUGAGCAUUUCCAUAUUCAUCAAGGUUUUACCAAUAUCCGUGUCAAGGAUCCUGGCAACACAACGUACUCCCAUGAUGAACAACGAUGGAUGAUGCAGAUGCAAAGGAAGAUAACCUCCUCAGAUUUCACCUUAGCGAGGCCAAGGGAUCAAAAUCUGGAUGAUCGACCGAGAGACAUUUAGCACUCCGCUUCUAAUGUUCUCCUUGAUGUGAUAGCAUAAUCCAUUCAUAGAUAUGGUUUGACAUCUAGAACAUCAGGUAAAAGGUCGGACUUGGGAACACCAAAAAUCCAUAAGGAAUAACUAUGGAUGUAAAUCCUACGAAAUCCUCAUGGGGAGGUGGCCAACUUCCUCAAUCAAGAUACUACAAUAAUAGUUCUUCCGGCUGGGUGUGUUGGCCACGACAUCCACUUCACCGGUUAUGGAGAGACCAAUAUUAUAGUUCUUGGGAAAUGUUCCAACCAUCAUAUGUGCCUGGGAUUCAGAUCUGGUUGGUGUUAGGAUAUUCUAGACUCAUUGAGUCUAGAAAGAAAAAUGGAAGUUUGCAACACAAAUCGACAAGAUGACGUUGCGAGAUUCUCGGGGAAUGAACUACGAUAGUAAGCUCCAAAAUAUGAGCUGGUUCUGCUACAAACAUGUGAACACGUUGUCUCAGACAAGCAUGACCACAUCGUAGUCUUACAAUAAAACACUACCAAGUUCAGGUGGGAAACCAUCAUCGAGGAUAACAAAAUCUUGUACGAAUCCGUCUGGUACCUUCAGGACUAGCACUUAGAACUUAUUAUCCUUGAACAAAUCAAUCAGUGGCUUGGUGUGCUAGGGAAACAUAUAGAAUGGAGGUAAUUAAUCUACCAAACCAUAGAAUACUUCGCACGAAUGUGUGACUGACUUGGGAUGAUUCCAAGGGAGGUAAAACAAGCUCUCUCGAAUUCACGGCGGCAACUUGCAUCAAAUGCACAUGAAUUAGAGGAAGUCACUUCUCUCAUCCAAACAUAUACCUCAUGGACAGGCAUGAAGAAAAUGCUUACACAAGUUUCCAACACUAGCUGGAUGUUCCACACAGAUCAUGGAGGAGACAAAAUGCUACUGAUGGGCUCAACAGCAACUCAUCGGAAUUUCCAUAUCACUGGACUUCCUCCAUUAUGUGAACAAUGUGACAGUACUGGUCGGACCAAAAGAUGCAAUGGUGUAUGCUCGAGGAAUCAACCACGAGCAAGACAACAUUACGAAUACUAUUGGUUCUAACUUGAUUUGACGAUGGCCCACUCUCAAAUCAAGGUUUGGGCAAGAUGAUAGGUUCAACAUCUGAUCACGAGGACCAAUCAGUGAAGAUAUCAUCUUUCUUCAACACACAAACACAAAAAAAUGAUAUCCCUUAACAUGAACUAAGUCGGACAAACUUCCAUCUUCCAACUCUUCAAGUUGUUUUUUAGCUUGACCAACCAGCUCAGGGGUAUGCAACACAGAUUCUUGGAGAAGGGGUGGCUUAUAUGAAACCAACUUGAUCACGAGCUCAACAGAACAGUCAAGUGACGACCUGGUGAUACUUCUGAGAAGAUAUACAGAAAAAUCACGAACCACCGAUAUGUUACUAAGCUCGAGAACAAUCUUGCUUUUCAGAGCAGGACGAUAUGAUCAAAUAAGCAAGGGAUUGAAUAAUCCUAACUCAUUUAUCAAAGAGUGCACCAAGAAAUAUGGACUAGUAGCACGAUCAAUCUUAGAAUGACCAUUCAAUAACCAACACGCUAAGAAUGAGAUUGUUGUCCAAUAACUACCAAGCAACACAGUUGCUAGGAGUAUUGAUUCUACACAUCAUAGUUCACUUGUCGGCAUUCCGGUUCAACAACACGGGGACCGAGGAAUGAAUAAUGAUGGCGAGAAGUAUCACUGCACCAAGAAUUCAUAAGAUGAUGUGUAAUUCCUAUGACUUUCUUGACAUAAAGAGGGUAAUACUUCAGGGUAGAACAGAACAAAAACUGGAUUAGUAUUUUGAUCUGCGGAGUAUGACUACUUUGACCCAAUCCUAGAUAUGGAUGAGGCACUGGAGUUCAUUUCUCCUAGUCAUUCUGGGAUAGAAUGGCUUGACGGAACACAAGAAUAAUAGGCAUCGAUAAACAUGAAUGCACGACUACUCCUGACUAUCAAUUGAUAGACGAGGUCAGAAGACAACUAAAGAGGGACAACCCAAAAGAACAUAUGAUUUUCUGAGUUGUGGAUGCAUGGACUAGCAUGUCGAACGAAUUCAACAUAUUUCUCCCGGAUAACCCAUGCCGAAAGGUUGAACUGGCAGAGUCGCAAUAUAGAAUGGAGAACCCAUCGAGAGCACUCCUAUUGUGAUCUUUUGAUCCAACAAACAUCUGCUGUAAGUGGUUCAUAGUAUUUGGAAGAAGGAAAUACCACGGACCUCGAGGACUAAUGCAAAGGUUACUAAUUUCCUAAAGGGACUAGCAAACACUAUCAACAUGAGGUAAGUGGGGUGAGUCUCGGGUUCAAGAACCCAGAAGUAGAAUGCCUACCACUAAGUGGCAUCAUGGGAUGCUUUCGAGAAUGAUGGCCAGAAUCAUCACACUGGAACACAAAACAUGGCUAGAUUACUAGGUGAUACUCCAGACACCUAGGGUCAUAAUAAUAGCUCCAACCUAUAUACCGAGGCAAUGAAGUACCUCAACACACUAGUUAAUGUGGUUGAUCUGGCACCAAGGAACUUUGAAAUGGUAAGAAGGAAUUUGCAAAUGCAUCAGACUAUUUAGAAACCUGGGAUGACUUGGACAGCAUAACGGCUGUAAAUGCUCGAAAAGAUUUGAGACAUGCUACAAAAAUGGUUGCAUAACCACUCGAUCAUCAUAAUAUCAAGGUUCUGAGAUCAACUAUGAACAUACAGAGAUAGUAGAAACUGAACUGAGGCUUAAAUCCAACAAUCUUAUAAGUCUACGGAUGAGUAACACGUGAUCCUGAUAGAAAGAAGAGAUAACCUAGUUCCUUAACCCCGUAGGAAAGAUAGGAUGACUAAGAUCUUAAGGCCAUAAGGUAUAAGGAGUAAAAAGAGCCUUACGUUCCCAUCCACAAUCAAUUCCCCUACAUAUAACUAAAGCAUUUCUAGACUCAACUUCGACCAGUUUGGCUUGGUAAUCCUACAGGCAGUCAAGCUCUGAUAUCAAAGCUGUCAGGACCCCGACUCAAUGCCACAUCGACCUAGCAUGUAACACCUCAUAUCACUUUGCGGCCUCACGCACGGUAUUCCCACGAGUGUUGCCUUACCUUUGCCCGGGACCGUUUGCACCUUUUGGCACAUGUAUAUGAUAGUGUCGCUAGCAUCCAUAUGAUAAGGAGCCCGGGCUGACAUGGCUAGUCGUAAACCCAAAGUGGCACAAACUUACAGGGACAGGCAUCCAUGACCCAACAUCGAACGUGUCGGUCAUCAGCGAGUGAAUCCAGGCUGUAGCACUGGGCUAGCAGGACUCCGGUGAACCGGGCUAUAGCGGGCUAACAUGACUCCGGUAUUCAUCGUGUGACAUUUCCCUGACGGGACAGACACAGGAACGAAGAAGGACACAUGCCGGCUAGCCUAAGUGUUCUGGAGCAAUAGCAAGCUACCAUGGCUCAGUGGAAGCACUAGGAGACAUUUCCCGGUAAGAGAGGCUACUAAGGAUAAACAACUAGAUAGUCAGAUCCCACACAUACCAAACAUUUCAAUAACAUACACACAAUAUGCUCGAUAUGCGCAAAUACAACAUGGCAUCAGAACAUGACUCUACAACUCAAGUAUUUUAUUAAAUAGGCUCCAAGGAGCGAGAUAUUACAAACAUGGGUCUCACGACCCAACAUUCAAUGCAUACAAGUCAAAGCACACGCGGAAGCUUAACAUGUCUGAGUACAGAGAGCUAUAAAUGAAAAAGGCUGAGAAGCCUGACUAUCUAACAGAUCCUGCCGGGGCACAAGAUCGUAGAUGAGGUAACAAGCUAAACAUCGAAGUCCAAGUGGAACUACUAGUGAGACUGAAGUCUCUCUGAUAAAACAUAAAAUAGGAAAACGUGAGUACAAAUGUACCCAGCAAGACUUACAUCAGAACUAUCUACAUAUGCAUCAUUAUCAACAAAGGGGGUGGUGGGGUUUAACUGCAGCAAGCCAGCUUUGACUCGGUGGCUAACCUGAACUACGACUGCAAUUAGCUCUUUUGAGGUGGCGCACAUGAGUCCACAUAUUCACCAUAUCAAUACACCACUAUGGAUCCGCCCCCGUCUCCCUACGACAACGCCAUCCAUAGCACUCACGCUUAUCUUGCGCAUUUUAGAGUAUCCACUUUCACUUGUCUAUGAACUGUUAUAGGCAACCCAGAAGUCCUUUACCGCGGACACGGCUAUUCGAAUAGAUGAUGUUAACCCUGCAGAGGUGUACUUCUUCAUACAUGUUUCCACCACUUAGCGUCUGCACACGAAUGUGCUCGGCAGACUUCAAGCGAAAGCCGACGUGGGUGUAAACCACGACCUACCUAAACACUCAAGUCUCUAGUCCAGGUUUAUCGCCUAUUCAGGUUCCAUCCACAGGGAGUCCGGCCGAGGUUUCCACAUACGGCCCCGAACGAUGUGUACAGGGUUCUGUGACACCAAACGGGUGCCCGGUAUACCCGGCCACGUGCCUACCGCAUCACAGCCCACCCCUCCGGUCAGCGCUGCGCAUCGCCUCCAGCAUACUACAAACACCAGAAACUACUUGCAACUCCUGGACAGAGGACAAGGGUGAUUAAGAAGUCGAGCGGGGUCAUAUUUCAGGGCCCAAUGCAUGGUAGUAGCUGAAUCAUUGAUCACAAACACAGAACUCAGUUCCUGAGGACGACUUCAAUGAGACAACCCACGAUGUAUUCCUACAUGGCCUCUCACCGCUACCUUUACCAAAUCGUGUUCACACACUUAGCUCAUACACAUUAGGACAUGUUCACACACCUCUGAUUCAUCCCCGAUGAAUCAGACCUGACUCAACUCUAAGAAGUAGCAGGCAUGACAAACAAGCAUGAAUGAGUAGGCACAUCAGGGAUCAAACAACUCCUACUCAUGCUAGUGGGUUUCAUCUAUUUACUGUGGCAAUGAGAGGUCAUGCAGUGGAAAGGGGUUCAACUACCGCAGCAUGUAACAGUUGAAUCGUUGUUGUCCUAAUGCAGUAAAAGAGAGCAGGAGCGAGAGAGUGGGAUUGUAUCGGAAUGAACAAGGGGGGUUUGCUUGCCUGGCACUUCUGAAGAUAGUAUAGUUCUUCAUCGGUGUCAUCGAUCUCAUCGUCGGAACACGUCUACAGAGAGGGAACAAACACCAGCAAUAGAGAAAGAACACAAUCAAUGCAAUGCAACAAUAUGAUGCAUGAGUGUGACAUGGCAAUAUGUUGUGGUUUGAGCUAAUGCAACUAGCAACCAGACUAAAUGAAGUUGGUUCGAAUCCAAGAUUCAAAUUCAAACUCCAUAUGUGGAUAUUUAAAUGCCAUUUAUAUGAUUUGUGCUAAACAUCAGCUAUAAGUUGUUCUAACAUGCAUGAAAACAGUACAGAUGGAUAGAUUGGAUUUUUCUGAUCAUUUUUCAUAUAUAAAUUAUUUCAUUCCAAGCUACGGUUGAUUUUCUAUGAUUUUUAGAAGUUUAGGACAUUUUCUGGAAUUUCCUGAAUAAACUUAAAUCCAGAAAAUGCUUUAUUGCGUCAGGGUGACGUCGCUGUGAUGUGAGCAGUCAACAGGGUUGACCCAGGUCAAACCUAACGCUGGGACCCACUAGUCAGUGACUUGGCUAAUUAACAGAGACUGUUAGUGCUAAUUUAAUCCUAACUAAAAGUGUCACUGGGCGUGGGCCCACAUGUCAGUGUCAUAACUAACUUAACAGAGUUAGUUAGUGUUAGGUUAGGCACUAUUCCAGGUUAAUUAGCGCUAAACAAACCUAACUAAUAAAUAACAAGGCUGGCCCACACAUCAGUGGGUCAGGGGGAAGUCAACGCCCGGUCAAGCGGGGUCAAACCCGCCGGACUUGGUCCACGGCUCAUCGCCGGUGAAGCCCGAGACGCCGGAGGGGCUCGGAAAUUUCCCAUCAUCGACCAAAUCGACCGCGGUUUGGUCCUACGAGUAGCUGGGGCUCGCACACAUCUGGUAGGCCAAGCGGGAGGAGCUGGGGUGGAGCGAGCUCGCCGGAGUCAAGCUCGUGGCGGCAGCCGGAGUUCGGGCCAGCACGGGCGCGGGGCUGCAACUCGAUUUAGAGUGAACGAGGAGCACGGGAAGAGGCUAUGGGGCAGUAUGAACUCGACCAGGUGCUCAUACGCGGCGUUGGCCCACUGUAACGACGACGACGACAUUCGCGACGGCGACAAGUUUCGGCGGAGGUGGGGAACGGAGCUAGAGUAUGAGCGCAAGCAGGGAGGAGGGGGAAUCGGUGGCGGAGCUCAUAGCGGUUGCAGAGGUGGCCUCGGCGUGCUCGGGGAAACAUCGGAGCAAGCGGGGCGGCGAGAGGGAUCUCCGGCGGCCAGCGACGAACGUGAUGAAGAUGGCGUUGAUGCAGGGCCUCCAGCGAGGCGUGGCUAGACGGAGAGGACGAGCGAGGUGCUGCGAUGCUCGUGGGCACGUUGGGGAGGCGAGGGGAGCACGGAGGCUGCGGCAUUACGGCGGCGCGGUUGCGGCUGCGCUCGGGCGCAAGAGGGAGGGAGAGCAGAGGAGGGGAAAGAGGUCGGGAGAGAGUGAGAGAGGUCCAGGGGGGUGUGGCGUCGUCUGGAGUGUUCAGGGCGUCGGCAGAAGCAGGAGGUGGCCGCGGGUGGCUGUGCGCGCCGCACGCAGCUGCUUCUCCUCCAGGCAGAGGAGGAAGAAGACAAAGGGGUUGCGGUGGUGGGCUGGGCCAGAUGGCUGGGCCGGCCAGGUGGGCUGCACGGGUGAGGCCAGGUACUAACUUUCUCUCUCUGUCUUUUAUUUUCAUUUUCUAUUUUCUGUAAUUGUGUUUGGCUUUAAUAAAAAUGCCAGGGCAUUUCCAAAAAUCAUGAAACUGCUCAAUGUCACUGUUUGGAAUAUUUCCAACAGCAAAUAUUUCAGUUCGUGAUUGUUUGAGCAUUUAAAAUAUUAUUUAGAAAUUAAAUGCCCAAAUGCAAAUACCGUAUGAUUUAAUUCAAAAAUCCAGAAUGACCUAGAAAAAUGUGCACCAUUUUUGGGAGAGGUUCUAGACCAAUCCAAAAAUACUGAACUUUUCUGAAGAGCAUUUUGGGUUCAUUGAAAAUAUUUUUAUUUGAACCUAGUUGAUUUGAUCUGGUGCUAGGGUUUGAGCAAUCCCCAUUUCAACUUAAAUAAAAUUUAAACAUGAUGCACACAUGAAGGGCUAGUCUAGUGCAUACCAGAACUAGGGAUGUGAUAGCUGGAGAAAAUGAGAGCACCAGGGCUGAUGAAGCUAUUCCAGCCACUAAAGAAACCUCCAGGGCAACAACUAGUGUUGCGCCUGAAGAACCAACCAGGCCAGUCGAUGCAUCUGCUGCCGAGCCUGAUGAAUCUGAACAAGACAGGACUGUAAGUGCAUCUAGUGCCCCUUAGUGAUUUUGGUGUAUUGAAGACUUAUAGGUUAAGGGACUAAUCUGUUUGUGAUUGUACACAAGCUAUAUAAGUCAAUGAGGAGUUUGAUAUUUACAAUGAAAGUCGACCCAGAAAAAUGAAUGUCUUCAGUUGAAGACUUUGGUUCUCCUGAAGACUUUGAAAGUGAAGAAAUUGGUGUGACCUUGAAGACUUGGAUAUUCAUGCGAGGAUUAUGAAGCGUGAAGACUUUUGUUUCCAUAGUUUCAUUUUCUCUUUCUAGAGUCAUAGGAAACACCGUACUAUUAAAGGGGGUCGACGUAAUACUAAGGAAACUGAUUUCCAAGUGAUGCUCAUCUCAGAAUCCUGUACCUACCCAAUCCUUUCGAUGAAGCCAUUAGAAAUCUCAUAUCAGUUCAGUCAAUUUCUUCAGUGACAGAGACGAAGAUCUUCUGGUCUCUGAGGAAUUUGUUCUGACUGAGGAGUUAGGAAUUCGCCAAUGCGGAUUGCCUACAUAGUGAGGAACAUGAUAGCCCCGAGGAAUUCGAACCUCAAAUCCGAUCGUUGUUGUGCUAUGCGCUAGCUGUCCAAAAUAUCCCACCACCUAACGGUCAUAUCAUUGAAGGGCAUUUAUGUCUUAUCAUGUCGGGAUGCUCCCAAGGCUAUAAAUAGCCACCCCCUACAACCACUAGCUGGUUGGCUGCUCCGAGAGAAACUGACACUUGUCAAUUGAGAGCAUCCCAUCCUCCGAGGACUUUGAGCGAAAAUCAUAAAGUGAAGAAAACCCAAACCCCAAACCCAAACACCUACAAACCCAAAGUGAUUGUUCCUAUGUGGAACUAACACUUGUUACCUUUGAGGACUAUGUAUCCUCCAGACGGUUAGGCGUCAUGGUCUGAGCAUCUAAGAGGAAUUGUGGAUUGCCGAGAAACCAAGUCUAUGAAGGUUUGGAAGUCAACUGUGAAGACUUACCACGAGUGCUGGGCGAGAUCUAUGUGAUCUUAACUCAAGGAGAAUACGGUGAGGACUGUGUGUCCGGGACUAUGUAUCCUCGAGUUUAAAUACUCAUCCGCUCCAACCAGACAUACAACUGUCACAGUAGUUGGAGCUGGUCUACCAAAUCUUUGUCUUCACCAAGCCUACUGGUUCUAUUUCCUCAACCCUUUCAUUUCCUCAUUCAUGUGUUGAUGAACCUGAUCAUUACUAUUUGAAGACUUUAACUGAAGACUUUCUCUAUUUCCUCAAUCCAAUUUCUUUAGUCACACUGUCUUUAGCCUGCUUAUCCUGUGUUUACGCUUUCUGUACUCUGCGUUUGUUUUUCAUUUCAUCAUGAUGACUCUGCUAUUGCUCUGUUAUGCUUAUACCUGACUACUUAUUCCGCUACUAGUUGUUUGUGACUUAGGAAUUUCUUCACCCUAAAAUUCCUCAGUGACGAAUUUGUAAAAAUCGCCUAUUCACCCCCCGCCCCCCUCUAGUCGACUUAACGCACUUUCAAUUGGUAUUAGAGCAAGGUACUCCCUUGUUCUGUGUGAUUUUGGUUUAACCACCUGGAGUUUUAGUUAUGUCGACUGCAGGAAUGAAGAAAGUGACUUGCCCCAUCUUUGACAACCAUGAGUAUCCCAAGUGGAAGGCCAUGAUGAAGAAGCGACUCAUGGCGAUGAACAGCGAAUUGUGGACCGUCACUGAGAUUAGUCUUACCGAUCGUUGCAAGAUGGCUGAGGCUGAUGAUAUUCGCCAGUACACUCUACUCAACCUCAAGGUGAAGGAUGUCAUCUGCUCCUGUUUGUCCCAAAAUCAGUUCAGGAACAUCAUGCAUCUCAACCAUGCGAAGCUUAUAUGGGACCGACUCACUAAGGUCUAUGAAGGCCAUCGAACUCGUCAUGAUCCUUGGUUUGAGGAUUUCAAGGAAUAUCUCAAGGAGAUGACUUUCGCCCCAGAAUCAUCAUCCACUGCACCAUGCCUUAUGGGAAAGGGUGCCAACGUAACUGAAUGAUACCUUUCUGAAUCUAGUGAUGAUGAAUCGGGUGAUGAAUUUGGACCCAGCUACACUAAACUUGCUUCCCUUGCCACUAAACAACAAAGAGCUCUUGAAAAAGUUCAAAACAUGCUUGAUGAAAGCGAUGAUAUGUUGGGUGAGGAAUUGAAUCGAACUAAGGCUUUGACUGAUAGUCUUCAGAAACUUCAGUCUAAGUUUGACAACCUAACAUUCUCUUAACUGAUCAUGAGAAGCUUUCUUAUGAAUUUCUUCAGAGAAAGCACGAUCUUGAGAAGUUAAAAGUGAGUUAUGAAGAUAUUCAGAAAGAAAACGAUUCAUUGCUUGCUCAACAGAUUAGUUCCGCUCAGGAAGAAUUUAUUCCACCAUGUCUGAAAUGCAUUGAGCGUGAAUCUGCUAAUUCUUCACCUGAAUGUUCAAAUGCUUCUAUUGCUGCAAAUUCUUCAAUUGUCUCUGUGGUCACAAAUUCCUCAUCUGAGGACACCACAAGUAUCACUGACGAUAAUGCAGGGUUGAAGGUAUUGUAUGUGGCCGGCAUUUACAAAAUCCUCAAAGGGCAUCAGACUCUAUGUGAUGUGCUCACAAAGCAGAUCUUGAACAGGAACCCUAGGAAAGAGGGUAUGGCCUUUGAGAGGAAACUCAAUGCUGAUGGGACCUACUGGAAACCUAAGCAGUAUCCCAAAAUCUCAUGGGUUGCGGCUAAAGGACCUCCUGUAGAUCCAUGCAUUUUAUCUGGCUUUACUUGUGAUUCUUCAUAUUCCUCUGAUGAGUCAUUUGACUCCAACUAUAAAUUGUUCAAGAAUCAGAAUGGUUAAGUAUUUGCUCGAUAUGUUGGAACUAACUACAGGAACGGUCCCCCUAUGAAGAAAAUUUGGGUUCCCAAAAGGUGCCUUGAAAAUCUUCAGGUGAAUGUCAUCAUGACACCACCUAUGAAGAAAAGGAACCCAGACCAAAUACUUCAUAUGGACCAAAUUCUUCAUCUAGAUCAAAAUCCUCACAUGAACGUCAUCGUGCUUACACUUCUGUUUCGCAGGGAAAGUCUAAAGGCUAUGAAUAUGUGCAUUAUUCUUCAAACCAUUAUGUUCAUAAGUCCUCGAAGAAUUUCUCUGCUUAUUCAUAUGAUUAUCCUAACCACUCUUCUGUGAAACAAAGUGCACUGGCUUCAUUGCCAUAUUUUUCUUAUGGAUCUUGCAGAAUGAUGAACUCUUUGCCACCCCUCCAGAUGUGGGUGGUGAAGAAAAAGAACUAAUCUCUUAUGCAGGGUCAGGUCUCCAGAUGAACUUAAUUGUCUGAAGAAUUUGCUAGAGAUCUAAAUGUGCUUGAAUGGACGCAAGCUAAUAUGAAGAAAUGAAUCAUUCAUUUCGCUUGUCCUCAUAUUGCUAUCUCUGUUAUUGUUGAUGAAAUUUAUAUCAUAUUCUUCACUGAUGAAGUAUAUGGGUGAUAACCCACAAGUGUAGGGGAUCGCAACAACUUUCGAGGGUAGAGUAUUCAACCCAAAUUUAUUGAUUCGACACAAGGGGAGCCAAAGAAUAUUCUGAAGUAUUAGCAGUUAAGUUGUUAAUUCAACCAAACCUGGAUAACACAGUAUCUGCAGCAAAGUAUUUAGUAGCAAAGUAGUAUGAUAGUAAUGGUAACAGUGGCAAAAGUAAAGAUAAUAGUUUUGUAGUAGGUGUAAUAGUAGCAACGAAAAAGUAAAUAAGCAAAGCACAAUAUGUGAAAAGCUCGUAGGCAUUGGAUCAGUGAUGGAUAAUUAUGUCAGAUGCGAUUCCUCAUGUAAUAGUUAUAACAUAGGAUGACACAGAACUAGCUCCAGUUCAUCAAUGUAAUGUAGGCAUGUAUUCCGAAUAUAGUCAUACGUGCUUAUGGAAAAGAACUUGCAUGAAAUCUUUGUCCUACCCUCCCAUGGCGGCGGGGUCCUAGUGGAAACUAUGGGAUAUUAAGGCCUCCUUUUAAUACAGAACCGGAACAAAGCAUUAGCACAUAGUGAAUACAUGAACUCCUCAAACUAUGGUCAUCACCGAGAAGUAUCCCGAUUAUUGUCACUUCGGGGUUGUUGUCGAUGUCAAAACCGGUGGAUCUCGGGUAGGGGGUCCCGAUAUGUGUGUCUUAGGCUAAUGAUAACAGGAGGCAAGGGAAACAAUUUUACCCAGGUUCGGGCCAUCUCGAUGGAGGUAAAACCCUACUUCCUGCUUGAUUGAUAUUGAUGAUAUGGGUAUUACAAGAGUUGAUCUACAAUGAGAUCGUAGAGGCUAAACCCUAGAAGCUAGCCUAUGAUGAUUAUGAUUGUGAUCGUCCCUCUGAGGACUAAACCCUCCGGUUUAUAUAGACACCGGAGGGUGCUAGGGUUUACACGGAGUCAGUUACAAAGAAGGAAAUAUAAUAUUCGGAUCGCCAAGCUUGUCUUCCACGCAAAGGAGAGUCCCAUCCGGACACAGGACGGAGUCUUGAGUCUUGUAUCUUCACGGUCCAACAGUCCGUCCAAAGUGUAUAGUCCGGCUAUCCGGAUAUCCCCUAAUCCAGGACUCCCUUAGUAGCCCCUGAACCAGGCUUCAAUGAAGAUGAGUCCGGCGCGCAGUUUGUCUUCGGCAUUGCAAGGCGGGUUCCUUCUCCGAAUACUCCAAAAUAAUUAUCGAACACUUGGAUCGUGUCUGAAUCGGCAAGAUGAUCUUCGUACACCACCGUAGAGAGAAUGAUAUUUCACAAAUAUAAUCUGCUGACAACUCUAGACAAAGUGUCAUGACACUACGGUCGGGUCAUUAUUCAAACCAUUUUUCCACAACCAGCCAUAGCGCAUAUUGCGAGUCGGUUUCCUUGGCACGUAUUGUCACAACAGAGAUCAUGUACCCUUAUUACGGGAUUUCCAUCAAUACGGGUAUGGGUAACCCAACCUCGCAAUCAAUCGUUGCGCUUGGGAAAUAAGCGAUUCUCAACGGGAAAGUGGGGAGGCGCACCGUUCUCGCCGCCUCUAUAAAGGGAUAAGGAUUCCCCAUUUUCACCAAUGCCUUCUUCCUCCUCUACUUAUCCAUUCCCACACCCUCGAGCUCCAACGCCCUGGUUCAUGCUUUCUCCGCACAGUCAAACAUGUCCGGAGCAGGAGGCAAGUGAGUGGCCUCCACCGUGAAGGAGGAGCAUAUUACGAAGCUCCGGGCGGCCGGAUACUUGGCCGCAGACAUAGCGCACCGGCUACCGGGCGAAGGGCAGGUCACUCCAACUCCGGAACCCAUGAGAGGGUUGUAUUUCUCGCCCACUUCGUCCGUGGACUGGGAUUUCCACUUCAUCCCUUCGUCCGCGGGCUCAUAUUCUACUACAGGCUAGAUUUCCAUGAUCUAGCCCCAAAUUUCAUCCUCAACAUCUCGGCGUUUAUCGUCGUGUGUGAGGCCUUCCUCCGCAUCAAGCCUCACUUCGGCUUGUGGCUAUGAAUCUUCUGUGUGAAGCCGAAGAUCGUAAGCGGCCAACAAGCGAAGUGCGGAGGCUCCAUGGUGGGCAAGAUGCCCAACGUUACCUGGCUUGACGGCUCCUUUGCGGAGACCGUGAAAGGGUGGCAAUCAGGGUGGUUCUACAUCACCGAGCUGCAUGACGCCAACUGGGCGGCGGCCCCCGAGUUCUGAUCCGGAAUCCCCAUGCGGCUCACCUCCUGGGAAAAGAAGGGCCUGGCCUGGGGCGAGCCUGCGGAGCUGACUGAACUUCAGAACUGCAUCAAGAAUAUGAAGGACAAGAAUAUCAAGCUUGUCAACGUGGUCCGGGUCAUGCUUGUCCGCCAGAUCCUUCCGUGCCAAAGACGGGCUUUUAAUCUGUGGGAGUUCGUCCCGGCCGAACACCAGACGCUUCAAAAGCUCUACGGCAUGACGCACAAGGACACCUGGAAGGCGCUGUUCAAGGCCUCCGAAAUACCUCCUCCCACAUCCGAGGACCGCGGACUUCAUGCCACGCGGCUCCCCCGUCCGGUGAGUUUUCUGACUACCACCGGAUUCAGUUUUUCCCAAUGUACUCAUGGGGGAAUCUCAAGUCAUUGUGCAUAUUUGAUCAGGAAUAUGUGGAGAGGCAGAGCGGAUUGACUGUCCAGCUCCACUGCCAGAAGGUCCAGCAGAUGCUCUCCUAAUGGAGAUGCUAGUUCCGGCGCCCUACAAUGCGCCGGAAAAGAAGGCCGAAAAGAAGGCCCCGGGGACUAGGAAGGGUCUCCGGUGUAAGGUCGUACCGGACGCCUCGUCCGAAGACGACGAGGCACACUCCUCCCCCGAAGGGGAGGAAGAAGAGGAAGGGUCCGCCCCAUUCGGAGAGGAUGGGGGGCCUAAGAAGGCGGGCCAGGGGACCGGGAAGGGUCCCCGGCGCAAGGCUGUCAUACCCUCGUCGUCCGAAGACGACGAGGCAGAUUCCUCCCACGGAGGCAGGGGGAAACACGAAGAAACUCUGCCUCCCCGCACUGGGGAGGAGAAGAAGAGGAAAGCUGCCUCGGAGGGGGGGCUAGGACGCCCAAGAAGGGAAAGGCGUCCCUUCCGGACUACUCCACCACGGCUGCCUAUAGUAAGGAGGAGUGGCUGCCCAGGGGGAAGCCCCUAGUGAGAUCGUAAGUAUCCGCACUCUGUUGUACUUUAGUGCGACUUCGCUUCAUAGUCUGUUAUAACGCUGAACACGUAUAUGCCGAGGUAUCAUCUUCGGAUGGGUCCUUGAGUGAUUCGGCGAUGAACUCGCUUCCUACGGCCACUACCCCUCGGCCUGCGGAUGACACGGAGGUGUUGCCCCAAAGGCUCCCGGAGCAGGGGGGAGGUGGCUCUAGAGACGCCCCAGGGUGAAAUUCCAGAUGUCGGGCACACGGGGUAUAGAAUCCCCGCAGAUCGUGCCGAUGAGAGCCGCGGCCAGCCGGGCUCUCAGCCGGAUACUGUACUGGAACCUCUGAUGGUUCCGGACUCGGGCAGGUGGCCCCUUGCUAGGGAGGGCGAGCCGUCUGUGCCGAUGACCUCCGUUAUGCUAGGGGCGUCGGAUAGUCUGCUGGAAGCGCUUCAUGGCGCUUCCAUGAAUGAAGAGCACCGUACUCUUAUGAGUGCGGUUAUUCAAAAGGUUCUGUCUGCCAAGAGCGGACUAACCGAAGCCUGCACCAGCCUCCUGACGGGCUUUAAGGUAAGUAAUCAAAAAUGUGUGAAAUAAUCACCCAAUAGGUAGUAGCCCCUGAUACUCUGUUUGGUGUUCGGAACGAAAAGCCAAAUGGAGGGUCGAUUAUAAUCCGCAUGAGUCUAAUAGUAGGUUUGCAUGUGAAUAAGCAGGCGGUGCUGCUUGCCGCUGCUUCACGCACGGCCGAGGUCACUGGACUUAAACGGGACCUGGAGCAGGUACAAGGAGAGCUCGGCCUCACGAAGAGGCAGCUCAAAGAGAACAAAGGUGAGUGAUACCCCGUUCGCAUAUUUAUAAAGAAUAGACAAAAAUUGGUGAUUCUAACGACAAAGCGUCGUGACUUUGUGAUAGGGGCCACCACCUAAGUGGCGCCUCUGAAGAAAGCAUUGUCCGAGGCCAAAGACAAGGCGGCCUUGGAGCGCAAGGAGCGCGAAAAGCAAGAUGCUAGAGUGGGCGAGGUUGGAAUAGAGCUCCAGGAGUUCGGCAAGAAGUUCGAGUCCUUGGAGCAUGAUCUUAAGAUGAAAGAGACUGAGCUUGCGAAGGCCCUUGCGAGUGUGAAAGACGCCAAGGCCGAAGCCGAAAAGGCACAGCAGGAAAACCAGGCGGCCAAGAAGAUAGCGGCGGGUAAGACAUUCUUUAUGCAAAGCAAGCAUGUGGAGGAGACAUUUCUUUUACUUACCUGGAUUCGGGGCUCUCCAGGGGCAUUCACAGAUCUGCCACACAGCGUAUCUGAUGCUGUGGAGUUCUACCGUGCCAAGGAGGGGAGCUCAACAGAGAAGUUGUUCUGGUGCCAGUAUGCUGGAGCCGAACACCCAGUGCCUCUGAGUGACUAACUAAAGCAGUUGGUUGAACUCCAUAGGGCGGCCGAAGUGGCUAUGAAAGAUUUCAUAGUCCGGAUGCGGCCUGGUGAGCCCUUGCCUGCCAGCUACUUCGGCCUGAUAAAGCGGAUGGUAAACGCCUAUCCGCGGCUUGAGGUGAUCAAGCGAUCCGUUUGCAUUGAGGGUGCCCACCGGGCCUUUACCCGUGUGAAGGUGCAUUGGGGCAAGCUGGAUGCGGAGAAGCUGGUGAAAGAUGGGCCGCCGGAGGGCAAGGCGCAUCGCUGUCCCAAAAAAUAUUAUGAUGGCAUUAUGGAAGGCGCUCGUCUCGUGGCCGAUGAAUGUACGAAGGACACGAUCCUUGAGUAAAUGUACUUCUGCCGUUGUUGUAAUAUAAAGACGAAGUUACUUGCACUAUAUAGCACCUUUUGAUUUAAAAUAUUACCUUCUGUGCGGCUGUUUAUAAAAUUCUGAAAGUAGGCCAGUCGUCGGCUUCCGCCCCCACGUAACUAGUUCCGCGGUGUUCCUGGAAAAACCCAGACACUCUUUAUCCAAAUUUUUGGUCCCUUAAGGAGGUGUCUGGCGCAGCGAACAAGGCAAUCGGUCUAUGCGGCUUUAUAACUUUCACUUAGCCAUAGAAGUCUACAAUUUUAAAUUUCGGCGAAGCCCCUAGAAUUCGGAAAGCCGAAUUGGGGCGCUAUAUACGCCUAAAUCGGAUGAAGCCGAUUCCUCGCCUAAAGCGGAAAAAAUCUUUAAGGAUUUUAAGACCUCUCGAACAGCGACCAACUCUUGCCGCAUCAUGCCGGUUAGUUUUCGGCUUUCUCUACUAAGGUGCUCGUCCGGAAGAACCGGAACACAAUGGCAGUAGUUCUCCCUGUGCUACCUUAGCCGAUAUAAUGGAACGUAAGGUACCAAAACAAGGGAGCCGGGAAAACCCAACUAUUGACCCAAGACAUGAUUCGGAGCUGAUGCAUAUAGUGCUAUAAGUUCGGGGUGCCGCACUGUUGAAAGUGUUCGGACUUGUCUUGCCGUAUUAUGGGGCGCCAUAAGAAGCCCCUGGCAAACUGAACGUACCAAGGUGUACGGAUGCAAUAUUAAAUAAACAUUUAUAGGAAAAAUGUGCAAAUAGGAAUAAUAAGAUGAUGCUAUAUAUUAUCUCCCAUUGAUGAAUAAUACGUUUAAGCGUAUGUUUACAAUGAGUGCGUUUAAGCAGAAGUAAAUAGGACUAUUUAACAUGUCCUAUCCAAGGGCGGGCUGCAUGUAGGUAUAUAAAACAGGUAUAACGAUCAUGAACAGAUUCCACCUGGGCAUUUUCUUUAUGCGCAAAGCCUGUUGCCUCCUUGGUUUUCUCUCCUGUGUAAGUCCGACAAUCCGGCUCUUCUGAAGAGGCUGCCCUAAAGCAGUGUCCGGAAAGAUAAAAGGGGGGGUUAUUAAAGUAUGUUGCGGUUAUACCGCACUGUUGACUGAGUCACUGUUGCGCCUCCGCCUAUGCCCAUGGUAUUGUGAGUGUGUAAUUGUGUACGCGCGGCACGAAUGCUGCUUUGAUGGGGCUUGAGCGGAGGCCGAACUGCUAGUCGCGCUCUUGGCGUGCCUGGCAAUCCUGUUGCGGGGUGCUCCGGACUCGCUUGAUGGUGUUCGAGGUUGUCGUAGCCGGAUUGGUGGUUUGUCGGAGAAGUCCGCAUUGUACUUCUGCCGCGAGGGCUGCAGUAUGUUCUUCUAUACGGAGAGAGCGGUCCAUGUUUCCGUUGACUGUUAUGACCCCGCGAGGUCCUGGCAUCUUGCUUGAGGUAUGCAUAGUGUGGUACUGCAUUGAAUCUAGCGAAUGCGGUUCGUCCAAGCAGUGCGUGGUAACCACUACGGAAAGGGAUGAUAUCGAAGAUUAACUCUUCGCUUCGGAAGUUAUCCGGAGAUCCGAAGACCAGUUCCAACAUUAUAGAGCCCGUGCAACGGGCCUCUACUCCUGGAAUUACACCUUUGAAGGUGGUUUUGGUGGGCUUGAUCCUUGAAGGGUCGAUGCCCAUUUUGCGCAUUGUGUCCUAAUAAAGUAGGUUCAGGCUGUUGCUGCCAUCCAUAAGGACUCGCGUGAGGUGGAAUCCGUCAAUGAUUGGGUCUAGGACCAAUGCGGCUGAACCGCCGUGACGGAUGCUGGUAGGGUGAUCCCUACGAUCGAAGGUGAUCGGACAGGCUGACCAUGGGUUGAAUUUUGGGGCGACUGGCUCCAUCGCAUAGACGUCCCGUAGUGCUCGCUUCCAUUCCCGUUUGGGAAUAUGGGUAGCGUAGAUCAUGUUGAUCGUUUUCACCUGGGGAGGAAAUUUCUUCUCUCCUCCUGUGUUCAGACGCCGGGGCUCCUCGUCAUCGUGGUUGUGCAACCCCUUGUCCUUGUUUUCGGCAUUUAUUUUGCCGACCUGUUUGAACACCCAGUAGUCUCUAUUAGUGUGGUUUGCUGGCUUGUCCGGGGUGUCAUGAAUUUGGCACGAGCGUUCAAGUAUGCGGUCCAGACUGGACGGUCCCUGAUUGUUUCUUUUGAACGGCUUUUUCCGCUGACCGGAUUUGGAUCCGCUGAAUUCGGUGUUGACUGCCGUGUCUUCAGUGUUGUCGCUGUUGUUCUGUUGCUUAUGUCUGUUGCGCCGUGGCUUGCCGUUAUUGUCGCGGACAUCCGAGGUGCCGGAAUGUGGCGUGGUGCUACUGCGAGCUAACCAGUUAUCCUCGCCUACGCAAAAGCGGGUCAUCAGUGUCGUGAGGGCCGCCAUGGACUUGGUUUUUCCUGGCCAAGGUGUCGGGCGAGCCACUCGUAAUGGAUAUAAUGCUUAAAGGCCGCCACAGCUUCGGCGUCCAGACAGUCGACUAUUUGGUUCGUUUUAGUUAGGAAGCGAGUCUAGAAUUUCUUGGCUGACUCUCCGGGCUGUUGAGUAAUGUGGCUCAAGUCAUUGGCGUCUGGUGGUCGCUCGUAUGUGCCCUGGAAGUUGUCGAGGAACGCAUCUUCCAGGUUUUCACAACUUCCAAUGGAAUUUGCCGGCAGGCUAUUUAGCCAGUGUCGGGCAGGUCCUUUGAGCUUAAGGGGAAGAUAUUUGAUGGCGUGUAGAUCGUCUCUGUGAGCCAUGUGAAUGUGGAGAAGGAAAUCUUCGAUCCAUACUGCGAGGUCUAUUGUGCGAUCGUAUGAUUCGAUGUUUACGGGUUUGAACACUUCUGGGAAUUCAUGAUCCAUCACUUCAUCAGUGAAGCAGAGGGGGUGUGCGGCGCCUCUAUGACGGGCUAUGUGGCUACGCAGUUCGAAUGAGUCUGGGUGGCUGUAUUCGGCCCAGCCGGACUUGUUCAUAGUGUAUCUGGCGUGACGAUCAUCGUCGCGUGUUGGGGCCCGCCCCCGCAAUCCGUAGAUCAAUCUUGGAUGUCCUGCUAUGUUUUCCAGAAUAUCUUGCAGGUCUUGCCUAUUGCCCCGGGCCGUAGUGUAUUGGCGUGGGGGUGCGGCCUAGUAUUCGGGUUGAUAUGUUGUUUUAUCCCAGCCACGAGGUGGCCGGUCAGCCGUGUGGCGCUCGAGUCCAUAUUCCUCAGCUGCCAGGACUUCAGUCCAUUUGUCUGUGAGCAGGUCUUGAUCAGCUUGGAGCUGAUGCUGCUUCUUUUUCAGGCUCCUCGCAGUGGCCAUGAGCCGGCGCUUAAAGCGCUCCUGCUCCACGGGGUCCUCAGGCACGCCGAACUCGUCGUCGCCAAGGCUAAUCUCGUCUUCGGAGGGGGCAUGUAGUUGUCCUCCUCCGGAUAUCCAUCCGUCGCCUGUUCGUCUGGGCUGACCUGCCCGUCUUCCUGCUCGGCCUGCUCGAAGGCAGGCUGAUCAGGGUUGUAUUCAUCUUCGGCACCAUCCGGAUUGUUUUCGUCUCCUGUGCCGGUAUUGCUGUGGCGGGGCUUGGAGUGGCACCGAUGACGCCCAUGCUUUGCUUUCUUCCCUGAGGGAUUAUCCUCCGUUGCCUCAUUGCCAUUGGUUUCCUUCGGAGAGUCCACCAUAUAUAUAUCAUAUGAGGAGGUGGCUGUCCACCGCCCCGUGAGCGGUGGUUCCUGUUCUUCUCCUGCAUCAUCAUCCAUACCGUCGAUGUCUUCGGAGUCGAAGUCAAGCACGUCAGUUAAAUAAUUGACCGUGGCAAUGAAGUGGGUGGUGGGUGGGCAACGAAUUCCUUCAUCGCCUGCUUCCCACUCGAGCCGGACAUAGUUCAGCCAAGAGUCUCCUGACAAAGAGAGAGACUUUAAUGAGUUCAGCACGUCGCCAAAGGGCGAGUGCUGGAAGAUAUCCGCAGCGGUGAACUCCAUUACCGGAGCCCAACCAGGUUCGGCGGGCUCGGGAGCACGCGUAUUGGAACCUAUAGCCGGAUACGAGUCCGGGGGUCCGGUGUCAUAGGCUUAUUUCGGGGUGAGGCCUAUGUUCGGCUCUACCACCGAUGAGUGUACGGCCUGCGGGGCGGGGUCCAUCCACCUGUCCUUGGGCAACGCAAUCUGCUCCGGAUUUAGGUCCGGGGCUCCUGCAGGGGCGAUAUCCCGAGCAUUGUCCGACAGCAGGUCUAAGCCAUGCUCAUCGUGAUUGUCCGGCGCUCUUGGCGCAGGCCCGAACCCGUUGAAGAUCAAGUCUCCGCGGAUAUCUGUCGUGUAGUUCAGGUUUCCGAAUCUGACCUGGUGGCCAGGGGCGUAGCUGUCGAUCUGCUCCAGUUGGCCAAGCGAAUUGGCCCGCAGUGCGAAGCCGCUGAACACGAAGAUCUGUCCGGGGAGAAAAGUCUCACCCCGGACCGUGUUGUUGACGAUUGAAGGAGCCAUCAAGCCUUGCAGCGACGACAGAGAGGAACUCUCAAUGAAAGCACCAAUGUCGGUGUCAAAACCGGCGGCUCUCGGGUAGGGGGUCCCGAUCUGUGCGUCUUAGGCUAAUGGUAACAGGAGGCAAGGGACACAAUGUUUACCCAGGUUCGGGCCCUCUCGAUGGAGGUAAAACUCUACUUCUUGCUUGAUUGAUAUAGAUGAUAUGGGUAUUACAAGAGUUGAUCUACCACGAGAUCGUAGAGGCUAAACCCUAGAAGCUAGCCUAUGAUGAUUAUGAUUGUGAUCGUCCCUCUGAGGACUAAACCCUUCGGUUUAUAUAUACACCGAAGGGGGCUAGGAUUUCCACGGAGUCGAUUACAAAGAAGGAAAUAUAAUAUCCGGAUCGCCAAGCUUGUCUUCCACGCAAAGGAGAGUCCCAUCCGGACACGGGGCGGAGUCUUGAGUCCUGUAUCUUCACGGUCCAACAGUCCGGCCAAAGUAUAUAGUUCGGCUGUCCGGAUACCCCCUAAUCCAGGACUCCCUCAGUAGUCGGAUCAUAACACAUAAUAGGUUACUAUAGACUUGCAAGAUAGUAUCAAGAACUCACACAUAUUCAUGAAAACAUAAUAGGUCUAGAUCUGAAAUCAUGGCACUCGGGCCCUAGUGACAAGCAUUAAGCAUAGCAAAGUCACAGCAACAUCAAUCUCAGAACAUAGUGGAUACUAGGGAUCAAACCCUAACAGAACUAACUUGAUUACAUGGUAAAUCUCAUCCAACCCAUCACCGUCCAGCAAGCCUACGAUGGAAUUACUCAUGCACGGCGGUGAGCAUCAUGAAAUUGGUGAUGGAGGAUGGUUGAUGAUGACGACGGCGAGGAAUCCCCCUCUCCGGAGCCCCGAACGGACUCCAGAUCAGCCCUCCCGAGAGAGAUUAGGGCUUGGUGGCGGCUCCGUAUCGUAAAACGCGAUGAAACUUUCUCUCUGAUUUUUUCUCCGUGAAACAAAAUAUAUAGAGUUGGAGUUGAGGUCGAUGGAGCAUCAGGGAGCCCAUGAGACAGGGGGCGCGCCCAGGGGGAGGGCGCGCCCCUCACCCUCGUGGACAGGUUGUGGGCCCCCUGGCCUUGAUUCUUUCGCCAGUAUUUUUCAUAUUUUCCAAAAGUUAUCUCCGUGGAUUUUCAGGUCAUUCCGAGAACUUUUGUUUUCUGCACAAUAAACAACACCAUGGCAGUUUUGCUAAAACCAGCGCCAGUCCGGGUUAGUUUCAUUCAAAUCAUGCAAGUUAGAGUCCAAAACAAAGGCAAAAGUGUUUGGAAAAGUAGAUACCUUGGAGACGUAUCAACUCCCCCAAGCUUAAACCUUUGCUUGUCCUCAAGCAAUUCAGUUGAUAAACUGAAAGUGAUAAAGAAAAACUUUUACAAACUCUAUUUGCUCUUGUUGUUGUAAAUAUGUAAAGCCAGCAUUCAAGUUUUCAGCAAAGAUUAUGAACUAACGAUACUCACGAUAACACUUAGGUCUCACAUUUACUCAUAUCAAUGGCAUAAUCAGCUAGCGAGCAAUAAUAAUAAAACUCGGAUGACAACACUUUCUCAAAAUAAUCAUAAUAUGAUAUAACAAGAUGGUAUCUCGCUAGCCCUUUCUGAGACCACAAAACAUAAAUGCAGAGCACCUUUAAAGAUCAAGGACUGACUAGACAUUGUAAUUCAUGGUAAAAGAGAUCAAUUCAAGUCAUACCCAAUAUAAACUAAUAGUAAUGAAUGCAAAUGACAGUGUGCUCUCCAGUGGGUGCUUUUUAAUAAGAAGGUGAUGACUCAACAUAAAAGUAAACAGACAGGCCCUUCGCAGAGGGAAGCAGGGAUUUGUAGAGGUGCCAGAGCUUGAUUUUAAAAUAGAGAUGAAUAACAUUUUGAGCGGCAUACUUUCACUAUCAACGCAACAACUAUGAGAUGGCGAUAUCUUCCAUACGACAUGCAUUAUAGGCGGUUCCCAAACGGAAUGGUAAAAAAUUAUACUCCCCCACCACCAACAAGCAUCAAUCCAUGGCUUGCUCGAAACAAUGAGUUCCUCCAACUAAUAACAACCCUGGGGUAGUUUUGUUUAAUUAUAUUGAUUUUCUUUGAUCUUUUGGAUCAUGGGACUGGGCAUCCCGGUUACCAGCCAUUUUCUCGUGAAUGAGGAGCGGAGUCCACUCCUCUUGAGAAUAACCCACCUAGCAUGGAAGAUAUAGACAGCUCUAGUUCAAACAUGAGCUGCUCGAGCAUACAAAACAAAAUUUCAUUUGAAGGUUUGGAGUGUGGCACAUACAAAUUUACUUGGAACGGCGGGUAGAUACCGCAUAUAGGAAGGUAUGGUUGACUCAUAUGGAACAACUUUGGGGUUUAUGGAGUGUGGAUGCACAAGCAGUAUUCCCGCUUAGUAUAGGUGAAGGCUAGCAAAAGACUGGGAGGUGACCAACUAAGAGAGCGACAACAUUCAUGAACAUGCAUUAAAAUUAAUUUACGCCAAGUACAAGCAUGAGUAGGAUAUAAUCUACCAUGAACAUAAAUAUCAUGAAGGAUAUGUUGAUUUGUUUCAACUACAUGCGUGAACAUGUGCCAAGUCGAGUCACUCAAUUCAUUCAAAGGAGGAUACCAUCCCAUCAUACCAUAUCACAAUCAUUUUAAUAGCAUGUUAGCACGCAAGGUAAACCAUUAUAACUCAUAGCUAAUCAAGCAUGGCACAAGUAACUAUAAUCUCUAAAUGUCAUUGCAAAUAUGUUUACUUCAUAAUAGGCUGAAUCAGUAAUGUGAACUCAUCAUAUUUACAAAAACAAAAGAGGUCGAGUUCAUACCAGCUUUUCUCAUCUCAAUCAGUCCAUCAUAUAUCGCCAUUAUUGCCUUUCACUUGCACGAUCGAACGAUGUGUAUGAUAAUAAUAGUGCACGUGCAUUGGACUAAGCUGGAAUCUGCAAGCAUUCAACUCAAGAGAUAAGACAAAGUAAUAUGGGCUCUAAUUUAAAUAAACAAUCAUGCAAAUGAGAGCCUUAAACAUUUUCCAUAUGGUCUUCUACUCUCGACCCCCAAAGGAAAGAAAAUAAAACUAUUUACACAGGAAAGCUCCCAACAAGUAAAAGAAGAACAAGAAAUAUUUUGGGGUUUUCAUUUUAAUUUCUACUACAAGCAUGGAAAUUAAACUAACUAAUUUUUUUUGGUUUUUCUUAAGGUUUAUCAAACACACAAGAAGAAAGCUAGAAAAAGAAAUUAAACUAGCAUGGAUAAUACAAUGAAAGAGUAUGAGCACCGACGACUAGAAUAGUGUGUGAACAUGAAUGUAAAGUCGGUGAGAAAUGCGUACUCCCCCAAGCUUAGGCUUUUGGUCUAAGUUGGUCUAAUGCCAAGGAUAGCCUGGCUGAUAUCCGUAGUUAUAACUGGGAUCGUACUAAGAUGCAGCAGCAAAUGCAUCCUGAGCUGCGGCAUGUUGGCGAGCCGCCUCCGCUCUCCCUUCAUAUUCACCUGCCUCCUCCCUGGUAACAACAUAUCUUCAUUUUGCCUGGUAAUCAAAAAGGGAAGGAGCAGGGAAAGUAACAUGGACAGCGCUACGUCUGUCAAAGAUUAGUCGAUAUUGUAGGAAUUGUUCAUUCCUCAAAAGAAAAUGAUGUUUGACCAUCGCGUCAUAAUCUAAAUAAGCAGGAAGCAACUCCAUAUCCCCCUCUCGUGGGGCUAUACCAAGGUAAUUAGCAACACGGGUCACAUAAAUCCCUCCAAAUAAAUCUCUGGAUAUACCAUUAUUAUGCAACCUACAUACAACUAUUGCCCCCAAGUUGUAAUCUUUAUUACCUAACACAGCACUCUUCAGAACACAAAGAUCAGAGACACACAUGUGACAUUCUUCAUCUUUACCAUUAAUGCAUCUACCAAUGAGGAGAGCAAAAUAGUGUAUAGCAGGAAAAUGAAUGCUCCCUAUGGUAGCUUGUGCUAUAUCCCUAGAUUCUCCCACAGUAAUACUAGCAAGAAAGUCUUUAUAUUCAGAUCUGUGGGGGUCAUUAACAUCACCCCACCGCGGGAGUUUGCAAGCAGUUGUAAAAUCUUCUAAGUCCAUGGUAUAAGAUUCAUCAUAAAUAUCAAACAGGACACUUUGAGAAUUACGCGAAGAUUUAUAUUUAAACCUUCUUAUGAAUGAAUCAGUCAAUAGAUAGUACUGAGGACACUUAUCUUGUAAGAAGUCCUCCAGAUCGGCAUUAAGCAAAUAUGCGUCAAAUUCAUCCUUAAAGCCUGCUUUGACCAUAAACUCGUCUGAUGGCCACUCACAAGCUCGCACUUUGGCAUCCCUUGGUGGUUCAUCGUCUUGCUCACGCAUAGCAUGCAUGGGUCCUUUCUAUGUUGAGGAAACACCUUGGUACAUUCUCCUAGACAUAUUUUUCUCUGAAAAAUUUCUGAAAUUUUUAGUAACUUCAAAAUAAAAGUGAAUAAAACUAAACAAGAUUGGUAGCAACUACUCCUACAAGUGCCUAGAGCCUAUAUCAUGCAUUAGAAUUACUUGGGACCUCAUAAAUUUGACAUGCAAGCUCAAGAACAGGGGAACCUAUGCAGCAAAAUUUUGCAAUGAAUAAAGCACUAGAACAAAGACUAAUUGGACCAAUGGAGGAGUCACAUACCAAGCAACAAUCUCCCAAAGCAGUUUUGUGAAUGGAGCUUUGAGCAAGGAGAUCGAAAAUCGCAGCAAAAUGAGCUAGAACUCCUGCUUGAGCUGGAUGGGGAUUUUUUUGGGAAGAAGAUAGAGUGUGUGGGUGCAGGAAUAAGUGGAGGGGGCCACCGUGGGCCCAUGAGACAGGGGGGCACGCCCAGGAGGUGUGGGCGUGCCCUCCACCCUCGUGGCCAGGUGCUUGCCCCCUGCAGUGUUUUCAGUGCCUAAAAUCCUCAAAUAUUCCAUAAAAAAUCGUACUAAAUUUGCAGGGCAUUUGGAGCACUUUUAUUUUUGGGAUAUUUUUUUAUUGCACGGAUAAUUCAGAAAACAGACAGAUAAUACUAUUUUUGCCUUUUUAUUCUAAAUAACAGGAAGUAAUAAAGGGUACAGAAGGUUGUGCCUUCUAGUUUCAUCCAUCUCAUGAUCACCAAAAUGAAUCCACUAACAAGGUUGAUCAAGUCUUAUUAGCAAACUCAUUCCGAAUAACACGGAACUGUAGAAAUUUCGGAUAACACUAAGUUACCUCAACGGGGAUAUGAACAUCCCCAACAAUAAGAAUAUCAUACUUUUUCUUGACAGUAGGAAGAGGAAAUUCAAAACCUCCAAUAAUGAUAGUUGGACUUUUUCCAGUAGAAUUGAUACUAUGAACUUGAGGUUGUUUCCUCGGAAAGUGUACCGUAUGCUCGUUACCAUUAAUAUGAAAAGUGACAUUGCCUUUGUUGCAAUCAAUAACAAUCCCUGCAGUAUUCAAAAAGGGUCUACCAAGGAUAAUCGACAUACUAUCAUCCUCGGGAAUAUCAAGAAUAACAAAGUCCGUUAAGAUAGUGACAUUAGCAACCACAACAAGCACAUCCUCACAAAUACCGACAGGUAUAGCAGUUGAUUUAUCGGCCAUUUGCAAAGAUAUUUCAGUAGGUGUCAACUUAUUCAAUUCGAGUCUACGAUAUAAAGAGAGAGGCAUAACACUAACACCGGCUCCAAGAUCACAUAAAGCAGUUCUAACAUAAUUUCUUUUAAUGGAGCAAGGUAUAGUUGGUACCCCUGGAUCUCCAAGUUUCUUUGGUAUCCCACCCUUAAAAGUGUAAUUAGCAAGCAUGAUGGAAAUUUCAGCUUUCGGUAUCUUUAUUUUGUUUGUAAUGAUAUCCUUCAUAUAUUUAGCAUAAGGAUUUACUUUAAGCAUAUCAGUCAAGCGCAUACGUAAGAAGAUAGGUCUAAUCAUUUCAGCAAAGUGCUCAAAAUUCUCAUCAUCCUUUGUCUUGGAUGGUUUAGGAGGAAAAGGCAUGGGUUUCUGAACCCAGGGUUCUCUCUCUCUACCGUGCUUCCUAGCAACAAAAUCUCUCUUAUCAUAACGUUGAUUCUUUGAUUGUGGGUUAUCAAGAUCAACAGCAGGUUCAAUUUCUACCUCAUUGUUUUUGCUAGGUUGAGAAUCAACAUGAACAUUAUCAUUAACAUUAUCACUAGGUUCAUGUUCAUCACCUGAUUGUGUUUCAGCAUCAAAAAUAGAAAUAUCAUUGGGAUUCUCAGGUGUGUCUACAACAGGUUCACUAGAAGCAUGCAAAGUCCUAUCGUUUUUCUUUUUCUUCUUUUUAGAAGAACUAGGUGCCUCUAAAUUAUUUGUCUGAGAAUCCUGCUCGAUUCUCUUAGGGUGGCCUUCAGGAUACAAAGGUUCCCGAGUCAUUCUACCAGUUCUAGUAGCCACUCUAACAGCAAAGUCAUGUUUAUUAUUUAAUUCAUCAAGCCAAUCACUUUGAGCUUUAAAUACUUGCUCACCUUGAGUGGUAACCAUAGAAGCAUAUUUGCUAAUGAGUUUAAGUUCACCUUUAACUCUAGCCAUAUAAUCACUCAAGCGUCCUAUUUCUAAAGCAUUAUUCUUUCAUUCUCUACCAACAUAAGCAUUAAAACUUUCUUGUCUAGCCAUAAAGUCAUCAAAUUCAUCUAAGCAUGGGCUAUGAAAUUUAGUAGAAGGAAUUUCAACGUUAUCAUAUCUAUAGAGAGAAUUUACCUUUACUACCUGUGUCGGGUUAUCAAAACAAUGUGGUUCUUCAACAGGCAGUAUAUUAAGACCGUGUAUUUCUUCAAUAGGAGGUAAAUUCUUAACAUCUUCAGCUUUAAUACCUUUUUCUUUCAUUGAUUUCUUUGCCUCUUGCAUAUCUUCUGGACUGAGAAAUAGGCUGAGGAGUUGGCUCAAUUGGCUCAGGGAUUGCCUCAGGAAUUGGCUCAGGAAUUGGUUGAGGAAGAGUCCAGUUAUUUUCAUUAGUCAACAUACUAGUCAAUAGUAAUUCAGCUUGGACGACUGUUCUUUCCCUGAAAACACAACCAGCACAACUAUCCAAGUAGUCCUUCGAAGCAUCGGUUAGUCCAUUAUAAAAGAUAUCAAGUAUUUCAUUUUUCUUAAGAGGAUGAUCACGCAAAGCAUUAAGUAAUCGGAGAAGCCUCCCCCAAGCUUGUGGGAGACUCUCUUCUUCGAUUUGCACAAAAUUAUAUAUUUCCCGCAAGGCAGCUUGUUUCUUAUAAGCAGGGAAAUAUUUAGCAGAGAAGUAAUAAAUCAUAUCAUGGGGACUACGCACACAACCAUGAUCAAGAGAAUUAAACCAAGUUUUAGCAUCACCCUUUAAUGAGAACGGAAAUAUCUUAAGGAUAUAAUAAUAGCGAGACUUCUCAUCAUUAGUAAACUGGGUGGCUAUAUCAUUUAACUUGGUAAGAUGUGCCACAAUAGUUUCAUAUUCAAGGCCAUAAAAAGGAUCAGAUUCAACCAAAGUAAUUAUUUUAGGAUCAACAGAGAAUUCAUAAUCCUUAUCAGUAACACAGAUAGGUGAAGUAGCAAAAGCGGGGUCAGGUUUGAUUCUAGCAUUAAGAGAUUGCUGCUUCCAUUUAGCUAAUAACUUCUUAAGAUCAUAUCUAUCUUUGCAAGCAAAAAUAGCUCUAGCAACUUCCUCAUCCAUAACAUAACCCUCAGGAACAACAGGUAAUUCAUAAUCAGGGGGAGAACUUUCAUCAUCACUAUCAUCAAUAAUAGCAUCUUCAAUAAUUUCAUUCUCUCUAACCCUAGCAAGUUGUUCAUCAAGAAAUUCACCUAAUGGCAAAGUAGUAUCAUGCACAGAAGUAGUUUCAUCAUAAGUAUCAUGCAUAGCAGAAGUGGCAUCAUCAAUAACAUGCGACAUAUCAGAAUUCAUAGCAGUAGCAGGUUUAGGUCUCGCAAGCUUACUCAAAACAGAAGGAGAAUCUAGUGCAGAGCUAGAUGGCAGUUCCUUACCUCCCCUCGUAGUUGAGGGAAAAAUCUUAGUUCUUUUGUCUUUCAAGUUCCUCAUAGUGACCAGCAGAUAUAAAUCCCAAGUGACUCAGAGAAUAGAGCUAUGCUCCCCGGCAACGGCGCCGGAAAUUAGUCUUGAUAACCCACAAGUGUAGGGGAUCGCAAUAGCUUUCGAGGGUAGAGUAUUCAACCCAAAUUUAUUGAUUCGACACAAGGGGAGCCAAAGAAUAUUCUUAAGUAUUAGCAGUAGAGUUGUCAAUUCAACCACACCUGGAUAACUUAGUACCUGCAGAAAAGUAUUUAGUAGCAAAGUAGUAUGAUAGUAAUGGUAACAGUGGCAAAAGUAAAGAUAAUAGUUUUGUAGUAGGUGUAUCAGUGAUGGAUAAUUAUGUCGGAUGUGAUUCCUCAUGUAAUAGCUAUAACAUAGGGUGACACAGAACUAGCUCUAGUUCAUCAAUGUAAUGUAGGCAUGUAUUCUGAAUAUAGUCAUACGUGCUUAUGGAAAAGAACUUGCAUGAUAUCUUUUGUCCUACCCUCCCGUGGCAGCGGGGUCCUAGUGGAAACUAAGGGAUAUUAAGGCCUCCUUUUAAUAGAGAACCGUAAUAAAGCAUUAGCACAUAGUGAAUACAUGAACUCCUCAAACUAUGGUCAUCACCGAGAAGUAUCCCGAUUAUUGUCACUUCGGGGUUGUCGGAUCAUAACACAUAAUAGGUGACUAUAGACUUGCAAGAUAGGAUCAAGAACUCACAUAUAUUCAUGAAAACAUAAUAGGUUCAUAUCUGAAAUCAUGGCACUCGGGCCCUAGUGACAAGCAUUAAGCAUAGCAAAGUCAUAGCAACAUCAAUCUCAGAACAUAGUGGAUACUAGGGAUCAAACCCUAAUAAAACUAACUUGAUUACAUGGUAAAUCUCAUCCAACCCAUCACCGUCCAGCAAGCCUGCGAUGGAAUUACUCAUGCAUGGCGGUGAGCAUCAUGAAAUUGGUGAUGGAGGAUGGUUCAUGAUGACGACGGCGACAAAUCCCCCUCUCAGGAGCCCCGAACGGACUCCAGAUCAGCCCUCCUGAGAGAGAUUAGGGCUUGGCGGCGGCUCCGUACCAUAAAACGCGAUGAAACUUUCUCUUUGAUUUUUUUCUCCGUGAAACGGAAUAUAUAGAGUUGGAGUUGAGGUCGGUGGUGCAUCAGGGAGCCCAUGAGAUAAGGGGGUGCGCCCCCCACCCUCGUGGACAGGGUGUGGGCCCCCUGGCCAUGAUUCUUUCGCCAGUAUUUUUUAUAUUUUCCAAAAGUUAUCUCCAUGGAUUUUCAAGUCAUUCCGAGAACUUUUGUUUUCUGCACAAUAAACAACACCAUGGCAGUUCUGCUGAAAACAGCGUCAGUCCGGGUUAGUUUCAUUCAAAUCAUGCAAGUUAGAGUCCAAAACAUGGGCAAAAGUGUUUUGAAAAGGAGAUACAUUGGAGACGUAUCAAUGGGUUCGUAAGUUGCACUAAUUCAUCUGCAGGAUGAACAACCUAAAGCUACUGAGUGGGUCCUCGAUAGUGGAUGUACAAACCACAUGACCGGUGACAGGAACUUGUUCAUGGACACUGAUUUGUCACCAUCUCAUCUAAAGCAUAUCACCUAAGCUGGCAAAGGCAAAAGCAAGGUAUUGGGUCUAGGUAAGGUUGCGAUCUCAAAGGAUAGACACAUGGACAAAGUCGUGCUUGUCGAGUCCUUAGGAUUCAACCUCAUGUCUAUCUCAAUGCUUUGUGAUCUUGAUAUGGUUGUCGUCUUUGGCAAAUAUCGUUGCAUUUUGCUAAUGGAAACUGACAAAUCCAAAGUCUUCGAAGGCUUUAGUAAAGGAGACUUGUAUAUUGUUGAUUUCUCUGCAGGACCACAGCCUACCACAUAUCUACUUGCAAAAGCUUCGGAAUGCUGGCUAUGUCAUCAACGACUUGGUCAUGCUGGGAUGAGGAACUUGCAUACACCCGCAAAGAAGAAGCAUGUCAUUGGCAUCGAGGGUGUGAAAUUCCUCAAAGAUCAUCUUUGUGGGGCUUGUGAGGCUGGAAAGAUCACUAGACCCAAGCAUCCCUCAAAGACUAUCAUGACCACUUCUCGUCCCUUUGAAUUACUUCAUAUGGAUCUCUUUGGCCCUACUCAUUAUGCCAUGUUCUCUAGUUCUGCAUCAUUAUAUGGCUUUGUCUUUCUCGUUACAUAUGGGUGCAUAUCAUCACUUACAAAAAUGAAGUGCAGGAAGUCUUCAGAUGAUUUUCCUCAAGAGCUUCUACUAACUUCGGUGUGAAGAUCAAGCAUAUCAGGACUGAUAAUGGAACUGAGUCCAAGAACACUAGUCUCGAUGAAUAUCUUGAUAUACUUGGUAUUACUCAUGAGUUAUCUGCUCCCUAUACUCCUCAGCAGAAUGGCAUCAUGGAGCGCAAGAACAGAACUCUUGUUGAGAUGGCUCACACCAUGCUUGAUGAAUACAAGACACCACAGCGCUUUUGGCCUGAAGCUAUUGAUACUGCAUGCCACAUCAUCAAUAGGGUAUAUCUUCACAACUUCUUCAAAAAGACCUCUUAUGAACUCCUCACUAACAAGAAACCCAAUGUAAGUUAUUUUGAAGUCUUCGGUGCUAAAUGCCGGAUUAGAGAUCCACAUCAUCACUCUAAAUUUGCACCGAAAGCACAUGAGGGUUUUAUGCUUGGUUACACGAAAGGACUCGCACACCUACAGAGUCUUUAACACCGUUCACCACAAGGUUGUUGAAACUGUAGAUGUGCAGUUCGAUGAAACUAAUGGCUCGCAAAGAGAGCACCUACCUCCUAUGCUAGAUGAAACUUCUCCAGAGGAAUCCAUUAAGUUCAAGGCUACUGAGGAUGUCAUUCCUACCGAAGAAUAUGCUAAAGAAGUCAUACCAGAAUGUGAAGAAUCUCAUGCUGGUGCACCUGAGGAAAAUGGCUCUGAAGAAAAUUCUGAGCCCAAUGAACGUCGUCCACCUGCUCAUCCUCGCGUUGCAAAUGAAGUGCAGAUCGAGAAAAUCAUCAACGACAUCAAUGCACCAGGUCCUCUCACAAGCUCAAGGGCUUCUCAUUUGUCUAACUUUUGUGGGCACUUAUAUUUUGUCUCUAUCAAAGAGCCCACCAAAGUAGAUGAGGCAUUUCUGGAGCUUGAGUGGAUUCAAGCAAUGCAAGAGGAAUUACAUCAGUUCGAGCUCAACAAUGGCUGGGAACUUGUCAAGCAACCAGACCCACGCAAGCACAAUAUCAUUGGCACCAAAUGGAUCUACCGCAACAAACAGGUUGAAAAUGGCUUUGUGGUGAGGAAUAAGGCUUGGCUUGUAGCUCAAGGCUACACACAGGUUGAAAGAAUUGAUUUGAUGAAACUUUUGCACCUGUUGCUAGACUUGAGGCUAUUCGCAUAUUGCUUGCUUAUGCUAACCAUCAUAAUAUCAUAUUAUAUCAAAUGGAUGUGUAAAGUGCAUUCCUCAAUGGUAACCUUGAGGAAGAAGUAUAUGUUGCUCAACCCACAGGUUUUGAAGAUCCAAAGCAUCCUGACAAUGUCUUCAGACUCAACAAGGCCCUCUAUGGCCUCAAGCAGGCCCCUUGUAACGCCCUCGAUGCGGCUAUAUCUCCCACGUGUCGAAGCACGACUUAGAGGCAUAACCGCAUUGAAAGCAAUGUCGCAAGUGAGGUAAUCUUCACACAACCCAUGUAAUACAUAAGGGAAAGAGAUACAUAGUUGGCUUACAAUCGCCACUUCACACAAUUACAUGAAUAAAGCAUUACAUCAUCCAGAUACAAUCAAGGUCCGACUACGGAACCAAAAUAAAAGAAGAACCCCAAAUGCGACAAAGGUCCCCGAUCGACCCCAACUGGGCUCCACUACUGAACAACUAGAACGGAAACAACACAAAGGACAAGAUCUUCAUCGAGCUCCUCCUUGAGCUUGGUUGCGUCAUCUGCACGGUAACAUAGGCACCUGCAAACUGGUUUUGGAAGUAUCUAUGAGCCACGGGGACUCAGCAAUCUCGCACCCGCGAGAUCAACACUAUUUAAGCUUAUAGGAAGGAUGGAGUAAUGAGGUGGAGCUGCAGCAAGCGACUAGCAUAUAUGGUGGCUACAAUCGCAAAAGAGAGCGAGAAGAGAGGGCAAAGCACGGUCGAUAAAAGUAUGAUCAAGAAGUGAUCCUAUAGCAACCUACGUCAAGCAUAACUCCAACACCGUGUUCACUUCCCGGACUCCGCCGAGAAGAGACCAUCACGGUUACACACGCGGUUGAUGUAUUUUAAAUAAGGUCAACUUCGGGUUUUCUACAACCGGACGUUAACAAAUUCCCAUCUGCCCAUAACCGCGGGCAUGGCUUUCGAAAGAUAAUACCCUGCAGGGGUGUCCCAACUUAGCCCAUGACAAGCUCUCACGGUCAACGAAGGAAUAGACCUCCACCCGAGACACUCCGAUCAGACUCGGUAUCCCGGUACAACAAGACAUUUCGACAGGGUAAAACUAAACCAGCAACACCGCCCUAAUGUGCCGACAAAUCCCGAUAUGAGCUGCACAUAUCUCUUUCUCAGGGCACACUCAGAUGAGCAAUCCGUACAACUAAAACCAAACCUCGAGUUUCCCCGAGGGGGCGCUGCACAGGGCUCUAGUUCGGACCAACACUCAGAGGAGCACUGGCCCGGGGGGGGGGUUCGAAUAAAGAUGACCCUUGAGUCUGCAGAACCCAAGGGAAGGUGGUAGGUUGUUAGUGCAAAUGGUAAAACGAAUGUUGGGCAUUGCUGGAAGAGCUUUACUUAAGGCGAACUGUCAAGGGGUUCCCAUUAUAGCCCAACCGUGUAAGGAACGCAAAAUCCGGGAACAUAACACCGAUAUGACGGAAACUAGGGCGGCAAGAGUGGAACAAAACACCAGGCAUAAGGCCGAGCCUUCCACCCUUUACCAAGUAUAUAGAUGCAUUAAUUAAAUAAGAUAUAUUGUGAUAUCCCAACCAGUAAACAUGUUCCAACAAGGAACAACAUCUCCAUGUUCCAACAAGGAACAAACUUCAAUCUUCACCUGCAACUAACAACGCUAUAAGAGGGGCUAAGCAAAGCGGUAACAUAGCCAAACAACGGUUUGCUAGGACAUGGUGGGUUAGAGGUUUGACAUGGCAAUUUGGGAGGCUGACAAGCAAAUGGUAGGCAUCGUAGCAUUGGCAUAGCAAAAGAGCGAGCAAACUAGCAUAGCAAAGAUAGUAGUGAUUUUGAGGGUAUGAUCAUCUUGCCUGAAAUCCCGCAAGGAAGAAGAACGAGUCCAAGAAGAAGACAAACGGUCGUAGACGAACAAAUCCUCACAACUCCGGAACGAAACCGAAGCUAACGAGAGAAGCAACCCGGAAAGAAACAAACAACAUAGUAAACAAACAAGCAUAAACAAGUCAUGAUGCACAAACAAGUAUGAUGCAUGUCCGGUUUAAUGAGGCAUGGCAUGACAAAGUGCACAAACAAUCCUACAAAUUAAAUGGAGCUCAAUAUGCAACUGCAUAUUGACGAAACACCACGAUAAGUUAUUUAGUUUGAUCCCGUUUAUGUACCCAACAAUAUUAAAUAUUGUUAAGCAUGGCAAGAGGUGAAGCAUAAUAUAAACUAUACCAUCUAAACAAUUUAAAUGGGGCCAGAUAUAAAAACAACAAAUCCGGUAAUUCCCCAUAUGCAUUUAGCAAUUUAAUGCAACAACAAGUUUAAACAUUUUAAAUGUUGUUAUCAUGAUGCGGAUGACAUAUACAAGUUUUAUGCAAUUUUAUGAAAAUGUUGACAUGAGCAUGUUAUGAAGCAUUAGUCGCCAUGGCGGAAUGAAAAGGGUGCCACGGCGGCGAAACAGAAAUGGUGCCACGGCAACAUAUCGGUCCGGUAACUUGAUUGAGAUACCAAUGCAAACGAGAAGUGUGCGGAAGUGCGCAACAUGCUAGAGAUGGUGGGGUGCUCCCGACUACCGGGUUCCCACGGGUUAGUGGCAUGGCAAACGAGGAGGAACGUGCAAGGAACAACUCGGACAUGGUGCAAACAUGGGCAUCUCAUACAACCCACAUUCGUUCUCGGAAGGUUGUCUCGGGGUUAUACCUUUGAAGCGUGCAUUUUCGAAGCGAAUCGGUUCGGAGGGGAAGUAGUCGUUCUCGCGACGGUAGUGGAAGUAGUUGUACUCGGCCGUAGCGGAAGUAGACGUUCUCGCGACGGUAGUGGAAGUAGUGGUACACGGCGACGGUAGUUGUACACGGUUCGUAGAUGUUCGGGUCGACAGUAGUGGUUCAUGUUUCGGAGAGGAACUUGACGCCCAUGGGUCGACGGUAGAGGUACUUGACGCAACAUGUAGUCGAACUUGGCAUAUCCGAAGGGGUACUUGACGAAAUCCACAUCGAAUGCAGUCGUGCACGUCGUAGUCGGACUUGACAAAAAUCACACCGGCUGUAGUCGAAGUACUUGGCGUGCAUCCACUGUUGACCAACAGUGUACAGGAGGCAGCAAGGCAUGGCCGACUUGGUGUGCAACCAAAGAUGGACUCCGGGCAUCUGGGUUGACUUGGCCACGACAAAGGCAGCAAGGCCAACGGGGCAGCCAGCUCGUCUUGGAGGGGAGCCCUAUCGGACAGAGCAGCUCGAGGACAUCCGCGGCUCACGAGGCACCAACAGCAGCAGGACGAGGCAUGAAAAAAUGACAGCACGACAACCAUGAAGGAGGCGCACGUGGUCGUGGUGGCUCGGGCAGAAGGCCACGGAGGAGCGACGGGGAUGCAGACUAGGCAGGAGGCGGCGGAGACAUGGCCAUCGAUGCGCGACCGUUUGGAGGUGGGGCUCCACGUAGCUGCGGCUGCUCCCAGCCGAAGCUCGGGCCUCCAUGCUGUCGAGACGCGGCACAGGGAGAUGGAAGGAUGGAUGGGCGCGACGGAGGGCAGCAGUCCGGCGACGGAGCAGAGGCAAAGCAGGGUCGAGGCAGGGGUGAUGCGGAGGACCUCGGCGUCCAGGGCGGCAUCCAUGGCGGGGCGGCGCUGAGUCGAGGCGCUCGGGCUGCAGGAGGCGAACGGCGGAGGGAGGCGAUGGCGACGCGGGGGAGAAGGAAGGGCGAGGUGGAGGCACACAGGAGGGGAAGGAGGAGAUCGAGGAGAGGGCCUCCUCUGGCGGCGCGAGGGAGGAGAGGGAGAGGGGAUCGGCCGAUGGGUGUGCGUGGGUGGCAGCAGAGGGGAACGAGGAGAGGAAGAUGGCGGCGUGAGGGAGGAGAUCGAGAGAGAUCGAGAGGACGAGGGAGUCGGGCUAGCGGGGCUAGGGUUCGGUCGGUAGGGCGCCGGCUGGGCCUUAGAGGCCGGCGGCUGGGCCUGGGAGGUCCAAGAGGCCCAGGCUGUUGGGCUCCUUCUCUCUAUCUCUUUAGCAGAAAAAAAAAUAGAGAGCAUUCAAAAGAAUUAAAAGAAAAGGCCAAGAACAAGAAAAAAUGGUGGGACAUAUUUGUAAGGCUUUACGGAAUAUUUCCAACCCAACAAAAAUGGUUCCAACAAAAUAGGAGAAGUUAAAUCUAAAAUUAUUUAACUUGCACCGAAGGAGUUUGAAUGGAGUCUAGACUUUAGGAGUAGCCAAAAUGUUGAGAUUUUUGGUGGAGCUCCGGAAGAUGAUGAAAGAAUAAAUGGCAAAGUUGGAGAUCAAGAAUUAAGACAACUAAGGCAUUGGGAUUUUGCAAGUGUGUUAUGGUGAAUUCCAAAAAUGGAAUAUUUACUAUAGCUCUCUAAAUAUCGAGAGGAUAUGUUUUAAAGAGAAUCACCAUGUGAAUAUCCCUCGAUUUAAAUGGACCGAAGAUCCAUAUGAUUUUAUUUAGAGAGGUUUUAAAAAUUAAUGAUAUGAUGACAUGAUGCAAUGCAAAAGAUGUCAUGAUGAAUGCACAAACAAAACAAAUCACACGACGAAACUCGGAAUAGCUGGAAGUCUUCUGGAGCGUCGGUCUCGGGGCGUUACAACACUCCACCACUAUGAGAGGAUCUCGUCCCGAGAUCUAGAAUGGCACCGGAGGGAAAACAGAAGAGAAAGAGAAGAGGUAAAACUAAGUUGCUUCUUUGACAAACGAGUGAAUCCAAAGAACCUUGAAAGGUUAAUCCAUUUCGAGAAAAGAAUACAAUGGAGACGACGAAGCUGAAAACACUCCGUUAGAAAAGAGGAACAAGGGAGAACAACUUCGGGCAGCACUCCGAUUGAAAAGAAAAAGAAUUGAAUAAGAACUUGAUAAGAUGAGAAGAUACUUCAUGAAAUCACAAUACACUGCCUCCGGGAGAAAGAAAUAGAAGAUUGAUAAUUGAAAUAAAAGAAUGUUGAAGAAAAUGCCAACUUCUGUCACAAAAGAGUUUGGAAAGCAUCCUUGCAAAGAAGAAUUGAACGGAGUUGUUGGAAAAUCAACAAUGAAAAGCACAAGCUUGUAGUGGGCUUAUGGAAAACAUCUCAAAAUUAUGAGGUGACAACCGGCCACUAACGGAAACAAUUGUUUGCUUGAGAUCAACGAAGAGAUGAAAACUUCUUCCACCAAGAUGAUAAAGAGAUAACUUGGAUCAUUGGCAAGCACCACAAAUAGCAACAUUCCCAAUGGAAGGCUUUUAGGUGAAAUAUGACACAAGAUAACUCCAACAACGAGGUUGAUGGAUUUAAAAAAUAACUCAUUCUUAACAACAUGUGAAUCAUGGAACAUGAACUCAAAUUAUCAAGAAUGACAUAAUACCACCUCCAAAAUAUGGUAGAAAGAAUUGCACUCUGGAUUACCAUAUGAAGAAAGCUUGAGCUCCUUAGAAAUGAAUCUUGAUGAAAACUUUGAGAAGGAAUUAAAUCCUUGAUGAAUCGUCAUGUAGAACCUCCAUGAAGAACUCCGGUAAACAAAAGGAAUGAAAAGAAAGAGAAAUUGAAAACACAAGGUGAAUCCUUGCAAUGAUUUAGAUGGACCUCCGUGAUAAUUAAAGCUUGGAACUCCGGGAAAAAGAGAAGAUGAAACAAAUGAAACCGAGAAUUUUAAGGGCCUCCGGAAUAAAGAAUUAAUCACUUGGAUGAACAAGAAUAAGAAUUAUGUUAUGCUUAUCCUUCACCAAUUAAAUUGACGACAAUCAACAGAUUUGGCAUACUACUUAUUCUCGUAGAAAGGAUUAAAAGAGAUAUAGCGUAAACUUGAGAAGGUCUUCAACGAACCACCGGUAGGAUUGGAACAACAAAUGAAUUGAUAUGAUGAACAAGGAAGAGAGAUCUUGAAAGAACCACCGUAAGAAUUGAAAAUGAUCGAAGUAGGGGUGCAUCACCGGUAAGAAUUAGCAAAUGAACGAAGGUGCUUGAGACAAACUAGAUACAUGAGAACAAAGAGAUCAAGAACUGAUUAGAGGAUAUUCGAUAGAUGCACCGGCAAGAUAGGAGAAUGAUAACUGACGGCUGAGAAUGAAUAAACCUGAAUUGAUGGACUCCGGAUGACAAACUGAGAAGACUCUUGAAUAUCUCCUGAUGGGUGAAAAAAAGAUGCUCACAAUCGAAAACAAUUAUGAGAGGAUGGCAACAAGCUAGCACCAUAAAUCUUGAAGAGAAUAGAGCAAGAUUAAAGAGAAACUCUUCUUCGGUCUUCAAAUGAUGAGAAUGACAACGAGAAACACCACCAAGAAUUAUUGAGGCACACCGGAAGAAUCAAAAGCGAAGAGGUUGAGCCAACUAUGAAAAGAAUUUGAAAGAUCUUGGAGAAAAGCAUUUGACUAAUGAUAACUCAUUCUUACGUCAAACUUGGAGAAGAAUUUAGGAUAGCUCUGGGAAAAUAGAAGAGUCAGGUAAGAUCCUCGGAAAAGACCUGUGGGUUAGGGCCCACUCAAAAGAACACCGUUGAAAAGAUUUAAACGAGAGGCUGCACUGGUUGAAUUAAAUGACUUGAAUGAGAUACCAAUCUCGAAAGAGCUUGAACGAAUGCAGAGUGGAAACACGAAUCUUCGAGAUAUCUUGAGCACUCCGGAACAAUUUAAUAGCGAGAGAUGGAUGAUUAAGAGGUGCACCGGCAUAAGAAAAGCAUUGGAAAAAAAGAAAAGGAGUAUGCUUAAUACCAAAGCUUGAAUUAAAUCCACCGGAGAAGAAAACGAGUGAAGAGUGACGAACUUGAAGCUCCAUUAGAAUCUUCAUGAGAAUCACCGGAUAAGAACAUUGACGGAAAAGAAUGGAGAAACUUCCCAUCAAUAAAAUGGAUACUUGAAGAAGAAAUCUUAGUCCUUGAGGAAAAAGGGUGGGUGGGCGGGAAAAAACAAAGGCAACUUGGAGACGGAUGAAACAAACACUGUUGAGAAGAAAUGAUAAUUGGUCUUGCUGAUGUUGAAGUGACCGGAUCCACUUGAAGAGAAACACGCCGGUUGAAAAGGAUUGACAUGACAAUCUUGAUUGUCGAGAAGGAUUGGUAUUCACAUCGGAGUAUGAGAACACCAUUUCGGAAAGGUAUGGAAUCAACACUUGACAUUGAAGCAACUUGAAUACCAUAGCUCAAAACAAAACAAAGGAUUGGCUUGCAAAAUAAGCCAGAACAAACAUAUGAUAGAGAUUUCGUCCGAAGUUUUCGUGGUGGGGCCUACACGGGCUCGAGUGUACAUCACCAUCAUGUACAAGGCAGUGCACAUGACAUACGAAGCGUCCCCGAGUCGGCAUAGCCAAGGACUCUUUAAGACACAACGAGACCACUGUAAAAUCGACCGUGAAUAGGCGGACCACUAGACGUCGAACCCCAAUUUCAAAUCAUACAUCCGUUGGAAAGAUAUCCUAAGAGCUACUUGAAUUCCCACCUAUGAAACUCCCGAAAUUUUCCGGUUAUGCAAUCAGGUGUUGGGGAUACAGGGGAAGCAUAAUAUCUCACCCAAAACUAACAAAUACUACAUCCAGCUGUAUCCAUCCUUCAACACAUAACCAAGAAACCUUCAGAAAUCGUCUACCUCAACCUUCGAAAAGCAUCCGUUAUACAAGUUAUGGCAAUACUCCCGUACUCACCUCAGUACUGGGUUAUCGGGGUUAUCUCACCAACAACUGCAUAAAAGAGAUUUUCGAUGUCGGCGUACUAAACUCAGGUAUUCCAGAACUGCAACGAUAAAAUUAUGAUGACAACACCUCAGAGCUCAACUCCCCGGGACACUUCCACUAAACCCCUGACAGGAGGCACCAAGACAAUGUUCUCAUCAUAAAACCAUCGGCACGAUUCCAAGAUACCCGCGUGAUCCUAAAAAAAAAUUUAGUGAAAUUUGAGAAGAGAAGAGUCAAAACUCUACGUCAGGAUGCCUUACCAGAGCGAUGAGGAGACGGGGAAGUAAAAAGAAUUCCUAAACUCUCCGAUAUAUAAUUCCUAAAUGACUCAAAACAUUUUUCUAGACACAACUCGGCCGCUAAAAACGAUCAAGCAGUGGGGCUCCUAAGGUCGGGGAAGGCUCUGAUUACCAACUUGUAACGCCCUCGAUGCGGCUAUAUCUCCCACGUGUCGAAGCACGACUUAGAGGCAUAACCGCAUUGAAAGCAAUGUCGCAAGUGAGGUAAUCUUCACACAACCCAUGUAAUACAUAAGGGAAAGAGAUACAUAGUUGGCUUACAAUCGCCACUUCACACAAUUACAUGAAUAAAGCAUUACAUCAUCCAGAUACAAUCAAGGUCCGACUACGGAACCAAAAUAAAAGAAGAACCCCAAAUGCGACAAAGGUCCCCGAUCGACCCCAAUUGGGCUCCACUACUGAACAACUAGAACGGAAACAACACAAAGGACAAGAUCUUCAUCGAGCUCCUCCUUGAGCUUGGUUGCGUCAUCUGCACGGUAACAUAGGCACCUGCAAACUGGUUUUGGAAGUAUCUGUGAGCCACGGGGACUCAGCAAUCUCGCACCCGCGAGAUCAAGACUAUUUAAGCUUAUAGGAAGGAUGGAGUAAUGAGGUGGAGCUGCAGCAAGCGACUAACAUAUAUGGUGGCUACAAUCGCAAAAGAGAGCGAGAAGAGAGGGAAAAGCACGGUCGAUAAAAGUAUGAUCAAGAAGUGAUCCUAUAGCAACCUACGUCAAGCAUAACUCCAACACCGUGUUCACUUCCCGGACUCCGCCGAGAAGAGACCAUCACGGUUACACACGCGGUUGAUGUAUUUUAAAUAAGGUCAACUUCGGGUUUUCUACAACCGGACGUUAACAAAUUCCCAUCUGCCCAUAACCGCGGGCAUGGCUUUCGAAAGAUAAUACCCUGCAGGGGUGUCCCAACUUAGCCCAUGACAAGCUCUCACGGUCAACGGAGGAAUAGACCUCCACCCAAGACACUCCGAUCAGACUCGGUAUCCCGGUACAACAAGACAUUUCGACGGGGUAAAACUAAACCAGCAACACCGCCCGAAUGUGCCGACAAAUCCCGAUAGGAGCUGCACAUAUCUCUUUCUCAGGGCACACUCAGAUGAG